Molecule: long non-coding RNA, 48270 nt
Filed under: Vitis vinifera (wine grape)
Lineage: Eukaryota; Viridiplantae; Streptophyta; Magnoliopsida; Vitales; Vitaceae
Description: long non-coding RNA (VVIN_LNC000288)
Source: RNAcentral
UAAGAUCAACUUCAUUCAAUCAGAUGCAAUGACAGUUCUAAACGAUCUCAUUGCCGAUGUAAGUGUCCUCUGCGUAGCUCGAGCCACCGCUGCCUUCAACCAAACACCUCUCUAUUUGAAUGAAUGAAUGUGUGCAGGGGAAAGAAGAAGGGACAUUGGACUUUGCGAUGGUGGAUGCUGAUAAGGAGAACUACCUCAACUACCAUGAGCUGCUGCUAAAGUUGGUUAGAGUUGGAGGCAUAAUCGCUUACGAUAACACUCUAUGGUUUGGUUCAGUAGCGCGAUCUGAAGAAGAAGAAAUGAUGGAUUUUGAGAGAGCAGGCAGAGUCCAUAUCAUGAAGUUGAACAAAUUCUUGGCAUCAGAUCCCAGGGUUGAACUCUCACACCUUUCUAUUGGAGAUGGCGUCGCGCUCUGCAGGCGCCUCUAUUAGCCUAAAUCCAUUCUCAUGAGGCUUAGGGUUUGCUUAUGGUGUUGAUUUUUCAAGGAAGUCUUUUGUCGGAUUUGUAUUUGUAUUUGUAUUUGAACUCAUGUCCAGACUCUGUUUGGGGAAUGAAUUUCUGCUUCAAGUUUAAAUUGAAAAUUUUGGACACUGCCAUUGAUGUAUCUAUUAGGAAUACAUCUCCUUCCUGGCUUUACAGAGAGAGCGAAGAGGUUGUAUCAAAAGAGUGCCUUGAUUUGUUCCAUUGAGUCCUAGAACAAAGUUUCAUUCAUUCUCCCUUGGACGACUUCUCAAUUUGGUUCUUCAAGCCAUGUCGGAGAGUGGCCUAGAUGUGGGCUUAAAAAGACUUUUUAUGGUCAGAACUUAUAUGGGCCUAGCACAACACUGUCGACUUAUGAUAUGAAGGACUUGUUUGGAAACAUUUUAAAACAUUUUUUAGAAUAAUUUUAGAAAACAGUUUUUAUUUAUUUAUUAUUUUAUGUUUUCUAUAAUAAAAAAUUGUUUAGAAACUUACAAUAUUUUUGACCUAUUGUGGACCCUGCAUUUCGGCGCAUGCAUUUCCCACUCAAUGGCGAGCUCGAUUUUUAUUUGAAAAAUUGAUUUUAUUUAUUGUUUGAAAAUGACUUAGAGUCGCCAUUUUGUGGAUCCUGCAUUUCGGCUUAUGCGUUUCCCACUUGAUGGCGAGCUCAAUUUUAAUUUGAAAAAUUGAUUUUAUUUAUUGUUUGAAAAUGAUUUGGAGUCGCCACUUAUUUUUGUUUUAUUUUUAAAGGAUAAACAAAAUAAGAAAGAAAAACCCUAAGCUUGACUCCUUAUUUUGGAAAAGGUGGUCUAUGAAAAACCGGAUCGAGUUCGGAAGUCAGGUUACUUAUCAGGAAGGUAUGGUAAAGACCGUAGCACCCCUUUAAGUCCCUAAAGUCGGGUCUCUACUAACGAGAUAAAGCAAUCAUGACAUCUAAUAAGGAAAUCAAUGGAUACCCGAAUCGAUCAUGCACAUAUGGGAAUUAGAACAUGCAAAGAGAAUGACUAGGAUGAGAGUAGAUACGUACUCGGGCAAUGAUUCCUAAUGCGCUAUCAAGAAAUGAGAUUAGUGCACAAUUAAGGAAUAAUUUUGAGCAUGUCAUAGAGCAAAAUAAAAUCAAUCAUGCAUAGCAAUUCAAUCAAUCAAUCAAUCAAUCAAUCAAUUACAAAACACAUAUGUGGGGCCCCCACCAAAAGCCCGUUUAUUUUUACAUGAAUUAAUUCCAUAAAUUCCAUCAUUUGGAAUUACAAAAUUUGAUUUUUGCUUAUUUCAAAACAAUUUAAAAUCAUGGAAAUUAUGAAGGUUGCAUGCCAGAAAGAAAAAUGGCAGCAAAAUUUUAUUGAAAAGUGGGGUUUUUAAGACCUAUAAGCUCUAAGAUUGGAUGAUGGAAAAAUGGGAUUGUUUGAAAACCAGAAUUUGAGAAGUAUUUACAAAAUGGGAUUUGGGAAAUCAUUUUCAAAAUCAAAGGUGAUGAAACAAGAGGGGUCAUGUGGUCCAAAGGUGACCAUACUCAAGGUGGCCAUGCAAAUAGAAGCAUGUGAGGGGUAAGCCCAGGGUAGAGAGUGAUGCUGGCUGGAAACCAAAUCAUUGAUCCCACAACUUUUGAUAUCUUCUCGCUUGAACCUCUAGCUGUACAACACUUGAAUUUUGAAUAUCUUGUGGAGUUCACACAAGAUCCAAGCAAGCAUUGUCCAGAUUAUCACAUGUGUUGCACAUAUCAGCCAAACCUUUCUGACAUGAGCCUUGAACUAAAUUCUAUCGUUUUUAAUAUAACAAUAAGGAAAAUUCUAGGGUACCUCUUCGGUACCUACCCAAAAAGCUUUUCAAGCCAUUGGAUGUCCAAGAUUACAUCUUGGCCAUCCAUUUUAAAUUUGAAAUAAAAAUUCCACUUAACCAGUUAAGGGAAGAACCGGUUGUGGCAUUCUUUCUUCCUCCAUUCUCAACAAUUUUGGGUUUAAAUAAAAUAAAUAUUAGAUAAAAAUAGAAUUGAAAAAAAAUAAAAAAUAAAAUGAUAUAAAAUUUGAAAACAUAUUUAUUAACAAAAAAAAUCAUCAUAUAUCAUAAUUACAUUAUUUUAUUUUUAACAAAUUAUUAAACAUUUAAAUUCAACAUAAAAAUGAAUGUGGUAAUAUUUUAAUAUGAAAUGAGUAUUUUCAUAAAAAUUCAACAUUUUGGUAAUCAUAUGUAAAGUUUAGGUAAUUAGAUCGUCCUAAUUUUUUUCCGUACUCUCCAAAUUUUACAUUUUUUGAAUUUAAGAUUUUUAAAGUUAAAUUACAAUAAAAUAAAUUACUAAUACUCUUUUAAGUUACUAGUGAUAGUAUUUUCGAAAAUAAAUUUGUAAUUUCAAAAAUUUUAAAACUAAAAAUCCAUAUGAAAAAUGUGAUAAAAGUACCAAACAUGUAUUUAUCACAUUUUUCAUACCGUUCUCAUAUUUUUCGUACCCUAAAUUAUUUAUAUUUUUAAAAUUUUAGAUUUACUUUUUAACUUGAAAUAACAAUAACAUAGUUUAAUAAUAUUAUUUUGAGUUAUUAUUGAUAGAAUUGUUAAAAAAAAAAAUUAAGCAUUAAAAAAAUUUUAAAUUGGAAAUAAUGUAAACUAUCCUAAAAAAUUAAAAAAUUAAAACACUAAAAAAUUAGAGAAGAUAUGAAAAAUGUGAGAAAAGGUAUGAAGAUUAUGAGAAAUCCUCACAUUCUUCAUACCUUACCUCACAUUCUCUGUACCCUAAAAUUUAACAAUUUUUUGAUUUUUUUCCACUUAAAAAUAUAAAUAAUAUUGUUUAUUGAUAUUAAUCAAGCUUAGAAAUGAUGAAUAUUACUUUUAAGAAAAUUAAAAAAUUAAAACACUAAGUAAUUAUAGAAGGUACGAAUAAUGUGAGGAAUUGUACAAAGAAUGUGAGGAAUCCUCACAUUCUUAGCACCUUUCGUCACAUUCUCCUUACCCUCGAAAAUUUUACAAAUUUUCAAACUUUUCAAUUUUUUUUCCACAUGGAAAUACAAUAAUAUUAUUUAUUGAUACUAAUUAAGCUUAGAAAUGAUGGAAAUUACUAUUAAAAGAAAUUAAAAAAUUACUCUUAAAGAAAUUAUGGAAGUUCGUACCCCAUCUCACAAAGUUCGUACCAUCUCUCACAAAGUUCGUACCCUCUCUCACAAAAUUCGUAUUCUCUCUUACAAAGUCCGUACCCUCUCUUAGAAAGAUCAUACCCUCUCUUAGAAAGUUUGUAAGUUCGUACCCUCUCUUACAAAGUUCGUACCCUCUUUGACAAAGUUCGUACCAUCUCUUACAAAGUUCGCACCCUCUCUUAGAAAGUUCGUACCCUCUCUUAGAAAGUUCGUACCCUGUCUUAGAAAGUUCGUUCCCUCUCUUAGAAAGUUCGUACCCUCUCUUAGAAAGUUCGUACCCUGUCUUAGAAAGUUCGUUCCCAUUCUUAGAAAAUGCGUACCCUCUCUUAGAAAGUUCGUACCCUCUCUUAGAAAGUUCGUAUCAUCUCUUAGAAAGUCCAUACCCUCUCGUAGAAAGUUCGUACCUUAUCUUAGAAAGUUCGUACCCAUUCUUAGAAAGUUCGUACCAUCUCUUAUAAAGUUCAUACCCACUCUUAGAAAGUUCGUACCCUCUCUUAGAAAGUUCGUAUUCACUCUUAGAAAGUUCGUACCCUCUCUUAAAAAGUUCGUACCAUCUCUUAGAAAGUUCGUACCAUGUCUUAGAAAGUUCGUACCCAUUCUUAGAAAGUUCGUACCCUGUCUUAGAAAGUUAGUACCCUCUCUUAGAAAGUUCGUACCCACUCUUAGAAAGUUCGUACCCACUUUUAGAAAGUUCGUACCCUCUCUUAGAAAGUUCGUACCCACUCUUAGAAAGUUCGUACAAUCUCUUACAAAAUAUUGAUGACAAUUUCAUAACAAAUUACUAAAUGCUCUCAAUUUGAUUAAAAAUAACUCAGAAAAAAAAUUAAAAAAUCUAGAUAUUAUAAAUCAUUACAUAUUUAAAUGUCAUUUAACAUGACAUUUCUACCUACAAUAGUUAUAUGUAAAUGGAAAAAAAAAAAAUCAAAUGUUACCUUUUAACACUUGUAAUCACUUGACAUCCUUCAAGACAUAUAAAGCUUCAUCUUCAAAUUUAAUCUAUGAACAAAAAAAAAAUUAUAUAAAAAUAUUAAUAACAAUUUGAGAACAAAAUUUUAUAAUAAACUCAUAAAAAAUUCUAAAAUCGGUAUUUAACAUCACAUUUCUUCCUACAACAAUUAUAUUUGGAUAAAAAAUAUAUCAAAUAUUACCUUUGACACUUGUAAUCACUUGAAAUCCUUCAUCUUCUUCAUAUAAUACAAAUUUUAAAUUUUCUCUCUCAAAAAGUUUUAAACUUGAUCUUGAAAUUUGAUUCAUCAAAAUACAUCUUACAUAUUUUGUAAUUUGGUAGUUGAAAUUAUGUAAUUUUCAUAUUAAAUUACUAUCCUUUUUUUUAUAUAUGAAUAAUGAGAGUAUAAAAGUAGUAGGUAAGAUUUUCUUUUUUUAGAUAGAGUUAGGUAAUACAUUAAAUAACAAAUUAUAUUUGAUAUUUAAUAAUAAAUUAUAAAAAAGUUGUAAUAUUUAGAUAUAUAUGAAAUGCAUGUGAUUAUUUCUCACCAACAAGUCAUCUUUACCGGUUUGAUAAGUUUUUUUAAAUUUUUUAAUGAUAUGCACUUUACACAUGUCAUAUUUUUAUUGGAGUCAAAUGUGGGUAGGUACCCCCAAAAUGAAGAGUGGGUACCAUAGAACAACCCUAACUUAUUAGCCAAACCUUUCUGACAUGAGCCUUGAACUGAAUUCUAUCGUUUUUAAUAUAACAAUAAGGAAAAUUCUAGGGUACCUCUUCGGUACCUACCCAAAAAGCUUUUCAAGCCAUUGGAUGUCCAAGAUUACAUCUUGGCCAUCCAUUUUAAAUUUGAAAUAAAAAUUCCACUUAACCAGUUAAGGGAAGAACCGGUUGUGGCAUUCUUUCUUCCUCCAUUAUCAAAAAUUUUAGGUUUAAAUAAAAUAAAUAUUAGAUAAAAAUAGAAUUGGAAAAAAAUAAAAAAUAAAAUGAUAUAAAAUUUGAAAACAUAUUUAUUAACAAAAAAAAUCAUCAUAUAUCAUAAUUACAUUAUUUUAUUUUUAACAAAUUAUUAAACAUUUAAAUUCAACAUAAAAAUGAAUAUGGUAAUAUUUUAAUAUGAAAUGAGUAUUUUAAUAAAAAUUCAACAUUUUGGUAAUCAUAUGUAAAGUUUAGGUAAUUAGAUCGUCCUAAUUUUUUUCCGUACUUUCCAAAUUUUACAUUUUUUGAAUUUAAGAUUUUUAAAGUUAAAUUACAAUAAAAUAAAUUACUAAUACUCUUUUAAGUUACUAAUGAUAGUAUUUUCGAAAAUAAAUUUGUAAUUUCAAAAAUUUUAAAACUAAAAAUUAAUAUGAAAAAUGUGAUAAAAGUACCAAACAUGUAUUUAUCACAUUUUUCAUACCGUUCUCAUAUUUUUCGUACCCUAAAUUAUUUAUAUUUUUAAAAUUUUAGAUUUACUUUUUAACUUGAAAUAACAAUAACAUAGUUUAAUAAUAUUAUUUUGAGUUAUUAUUGAUAGAAUUGUUAAAAAAAAUUAAGCAUUAAAAAAAUUUUAAAUUGGAAAUAAUGUAAAUUAUCCUAAAAAAUUAAAAAAUUAAAACACUAAAAAAUUAGAGAAGAUAUGAAAAAUGUGAGAAAAUGUAUGAAGAUUAUGAGAAAUCCUCACAUUCUUCAUACCUUAUCUCACAUUCUCCGUACCCUAAAAUUUAACAAUUAUUCGAUUUUUUUUUCCACUUAAAAAUAUAAAUAAUAUUGUUUAUUGAUAUUAAUCAAACUUAGAAAUGAUGAAUAUUACUUUUAAGAAAAUUAAAAAAAUUAAAACACUAAGUAAUUGUAGAAGGUACGAAUUGUACAAAGAAUGUGAGGAAUCCUCACAUUCUUAGCACCCUUCGUCACAUUCUCUUUACCCUAAAAAUUUUUACAAAUUUUCAAUCUUUUCAAAUUUUUUUUCCACAUGGAAAUACAAUAAUAUUAUUUAUUGAUACUAAUUAAGCUUAGAAAUGAUGGAAAUUACUCUUAAAAGAAAUUAAAAAAAUUACUCUUAAAGAAAUUAUGGAAGUUCGUACCCCAUCUCACAAAGUUCGUACCCCCUCUCACAAAGUUCGUACUAUCUCUCACAAACUUCGUACCCUCUCUCACAAAGUUCGUACUCUCUCUUAGAAAGUCCGUACCCUCUCUUAGAAAGAUCGUACCCUCUCUUAGAAAGUUUGUAAGUUCGUACCCUCUUUGACAAAGUUUGUACCAUCUCUUACAAAGUUCGCACCCUCUCUUAGAAAGUUCGUACCAUCUCUUAGAAUGUUCGUACCCUCUCUUAGAAAGUUCGUACCCACUCUUAGAAACUUUGUACCAUCUCUUAGAAAGUUCGUACCCACUCUUAGAAAGUUCGUACCAUCUCUUAGAAAGUUCGCACCCUCUCUUAGAAAGUUCGCACCCUCUCUUAGAAAGUUUGUAUCAUCUCUUAGAAAGUUCGUACCCUGUCUUAGAAAGUUCGUACCCACUCUUAGAAAGUUCGUACUCUCUCUUAGAAAGUUCGUACCAUCUCUUAGAAAGUUUGCACCAUCUCUUAGAAAGUUCGCACCCUCUCUUAGAAAGUUCGCACCCUCUCUUAGAAAGUUCGCACACACUCUUAGAAAGUUCUCUUAGAAAGUUCGUACCAUCUCUUAGAAAGUUCGUACACUCUCUUAGAAAGUUCGCACCCACUCUUAGAAAGUUCUCUUAGAAAGUUCGUACUAUCUCUUAAAAAGUUCGUACCCUCUCUUAGAAAGUUCGUACCAUCUCUUAGAAAGUUCGUUCUCUCUCUUAGAAAGUUCGUAUCCUCUCUUAGAAAGUUUGUACCCAUUCUUAGAAAGUUCGUACCCUCUCUUAGAAAGUUCGUUCCCUCUCUUACAAAGUUCGUACCAUCUCUUAGAAAGUUCGUACCCUGUCUUAGAAAGUUCGUACCCUGUCUUAGAAAGUUCGUACCCAUUCUUAGAAAGUUCGUACCCUCUCUUAGAAAGUUCGCACCCUCUCUUAGAAAGUUUGCACCAUCUCUUAGAAAGUUCGCACCCACUCUUAGAAAGUUCUCUUAGAAAGUUCGUACCAUUUCUUAAAAAGUUCGUACCAUCUCUUAGAAAGUUCGUACACUCUCUUAGAAAGUUCGUACCCUGUCUUAGAAAGUUCGUACCCAUUUUUAGAAAGUUCGUACCCUCUCUUAGAAAGUUCGUACCCUCUCUUACAAAGUUCGUACCAUCUUUUACAAAAUAUUGAUGUCAAUUUCAUAACAAAUUACUAAAUGCUCUCAAUUUGAUUUAAAAUAACUCAGAAAAAAAAUUAAAAAAUCUAGAUAUUAUAAAUCAUUACAUAUUUAAAUAUCAUUUAACAUGACAUUUCUACAUACAAUAGUUAUAUGUAAAUGGAAAAAAAAAAAAAAUCAAAUGUUACCUUUUAACACUUGUAAUCACUUGACAUCCUUCAAGACAUAUAAAACUUCAUCUUCAAAUUUAAUCUAUGAACAAAAAAAAAAAUUAUAUAAAAAUAUUAAUAACAAUUUGAGAACAAAAUUUUAUAAUAAACUCAUAAAAAAUUCUAAAAUCGUUAUUUAACAUCACAUUUCUUCCUACAACAAUUAUAUUUGGAUAAAAAAUAUAUCAAAUAUUACCUUUGACACUUGUAAUCACUUGAAAUCCUUCACCUUCUUCAUAUAAUACAAAUUUUAAAUUUUCUCUCUCAAAAAGUUUUAAACUUGAUCUUGAAAUUUGAUUCAUCAAAAUACAUCUUACAUAUUUUGUAAUUUGGUAGUUGAAAUUAUGUAAUUUUCAUAUUAAAUUACUAUCCUUUUUUUUAUAUAUGAAUAAUGAGAGUAUAAAAGUAGUAGGUAAGAUUUUUUUUUUUAGAUAGAGUUAGGUAAUGCAUUAAAUAACAAAUUAUAUUUUAUAUUUAAUAAUAAAUUAUAAAAAAGUUGUAAUAUUUAGAUAUAUAUGAAAUGCAUGUGAUUAUUUCUCACCAACAAGUCAUUUUUACAGGUUUGAUAAGUUUUUAUAAAUUUUUUAAUGAUAUACACUUUACACAUGUCAUAUAUUUAUUGGGGUCAAAUGUGGGUAGGUGCCCCCAAAAUGAAGAGUGGGUACCAUAGAACAACCCAACAAUAAACCCCUCUGCCAAAUUCUAGGUCCCAAGCUGCCCACAAGCUGCCCACAUGUAAAGGACACAAAUCUGCUCCUGUCCUAUUGCAAAUAUCACACUUACAACCGAGUCUUUCCCCUUAGCAAAACCAUCCUUGAUCUGGGUCAAUUUAUUGUUAUUAAUGGGGAGUUUCGAAUCAUCCCUUGGGACUUAAACUGAAGUUGCAGCAAAAGAACACCCCUGAAUCAUCCUUAUCUGUAUUCUUCUGGCAAGCGGAACCGGUCAUGACUAUUUUGUCCGCAAACAUGUUUCCAGUCUUGGGCAUGACAUGCCAGUGCAAUGUCAAGUUGAUUUCUUUUCCCCGGCGAUUGCUUCCCUGAUCAGUGAAUCGGUACUUGUUUGUGGUAUGAAUCCAGAAUCUCGCAUGCUCUUUUGAAGGUAUAAUAUCAUCCCAAAGAGAAACCUGAUUCAGGGAAUUCUUUGGUGUUGCAUACUCAGCUGCUAGAAAUACAAAAAAAAAUUUGUGUUCCAUGUAAACAUUGACUGCAAAUUUGCUGAUAUAUUCAAUGCCAGGCUGACCUCAUCGUUCCCACUGAGCUACCUCUGAAACCAAUUGAUACUCAACACUUCGACUUGGGAGGAGGGCGAGGGGGUGUUGAGGUUUUCAGAGAAGGAGGCCAUGGCGCACAUCACGACGAGAAUGGUGACGGCGAAGAAGGUCCAUCACAUGGAGAAUGGCCUUCAGAGUACUGUGGAAGCUGAUGAUAUUUUUCCUGAGUGUUGCUCCCACUGCCUCUGCCAGAAUACUGAGUUGUAUUGAAGCUUUUGACACCUAUAUCCGACAACCAGGAUCAACCUCUGAUAUUGAACAAUCAUCUUCCUUCAUAAUCUCGCUGUCGGCGAUGAUGCGGCGGCACCCCCUGAGGACAGCGGGGUUGAGGAAGACCUCCUUGCGGAUCAUGGUGUCGUUCUUGUAGUUGGAGUUGUUGGCAUAGCGGAGCUUACCGUCGGGCCUGGACUCGAACUCCAAGAACUCGUGCCCGAACUUCCUCUCGUGGCCAACGUAGUAACGGAGGUAGAUCCACAAGUGGGGCAUCAAUAUUUGGAGUCAAGAACGCGUCAACAGAUUGAUACACGCUGGGAGAAUAGAGCAACAGUAGGUGUUAAAAUCGUGAUAGAUUAUCCUGAAGGUGGGAUGCUGAUGCUGGCAGUUUCAUUGCGGUGACUGCUCCACCUGAAACCCUCCCUUCUAGAGCUCGCGCUGGGUUCAAUGAUGCUGUACAUGGGUUGGUGCUCAGUUUCACUACCAAUCCUGGAAUCAUCCCACUGUUAAAGCAUGAGAUUAGUGGGACAGUGCAGUGGCUGCCCGUACUCCGCCGCGACUUCGCCAUCACUGUCGUCAUCUUCAUCAUCGGACCUGUGCUUGGACUUCGAUCUGACCUGAUAAUCAUCGGCAGCAACAGCAGCCACCAUCUGAGCUUCCAAGACCCGCCGGCGCCGCUCUUCUGUAUGCUGCUGCUUGAGGGGCUAGAGCUUGACUGCGAUGACUAAAGUUGGCGUGGAUGAUCAGAGUUUGGAUCCUCAAAGCUAGAAUUCUGGAAGGCCUGCUGGAGAUGAGGUUGGAUAGAGCCCAAUUGAUCCUUCUGGUUGUUGGUCAUUGGGCCCUCUGGGAGCCCAUGCAAAUACCUUCUGCUCUGCUUGCCAAUAUCUCUAGGAGACAAAUUAAGUGUCUCUUAAACUGUUGGUGGCUGCACCGGUUUGUGAGUGGGAGGAUUGAGUCUCGUUGGAACUUGGCUGGAGCUUGGUUCUGCCAAGUUAAGUCUCUUACAAGACUGGGGCUUGGUAUUGGCUUGGGCUUGGCUGUGGCAUGAUUGCAAGCUGUUAGAAGUCCAAUAAAUGUAACUGAAUCUGGCCUUAUCCCAAUUGCAUUCAUCUGUUCAAAAAGUUCUACAGCUCUCUCCCCAAGCCCAUGACUUCCAAAUCCAGCAAUUAUGGUGUUCCAUGAGACAAGAUUGUGAUGGACCAUUUUGCUGAAUAUAUCUUAUGCAUAGCCAAUACAACCACAUUUAGCAUACAUGCUCACAAGUGCGUUGUCAACUCCCAGAUCCUGAUACAGCCUCAUUCUCAUUAGAUGAGCAUGUAUCUGCUUACCAUGGCUCAUUGAAGCAAGCCCUGCACAGGCAGCAAGGGCACUGGUAAAAGUGAAGCCAUCAGGCCUUACAUUAGUUUCUUCUGUCAUGUGCUUGAAAACUCUCAAGCCCUUUGCAUGAUCAUCACAAUGAGAACAAGCAGCAAUAAGGGUGUUCCAUGAAAUCAUAUCUUUCUCUUCAAUCAAUUUAAAGGCCUUCUCUGCUUCGCAGAUUCCCAGCUUGUUCUUCACAGUCCACUCUCUCAAGUAGUCUUGCUUUUCAAGCGCUCCAUAUCUCUCUAUAAUCUCAGCUUCCUCUCUCACUGAAUACGCUCUCCUGACGACAGCUCUCAUACGGCAACAUAUAACCCAUUCACCACUGAAGAUGUAUCCUCUGUAACUCUUUGCUCCCACGGGCAGAAAUGGGAAUAAUGAUGCACUCCAUGAACAGGUACCAGAAACAGGGGAAGAUGAAAACAGAGUGCAAGCAAUAGGAACGAAAUCAAUUCAUACAAGCCUCAUUUCAUAUAUUAAUCAAUGAGCUCAUAUGAGGGUGGGUGAAAUCAAGUGAGUACUAAAUAAAAAUCAAAACAAGGUUACAGAUGUCUCAAUGGGGAAACUGAAACAGAGCCAAACGGGUCCUCAACAAAAAUCAUUAAAGAAAGAGAUAUGAGCAUGCUUACUCCCAACCAACAAAAAUCAUCCAAGAAUCAACAAAAACAAAAGAAGAAAAAAUUUACCAGUUGAAGUGAAUGAGAAAUCCACAAUAAACAUACCUGAAAAUAAUCCUCUCCAGCUAUGUUGGCCAGAAAUCAGCAAGCCAUCUUUCUUCUUCAGCUGACCUCCCUCUCAAGCUAAAUGGAUACUCUCCCUGAAGCUCAAGGACCUCCCCCUAUUCUCACUAGCAAGCUCCCCAGGUUUUCUCUCUGAAGCUCCCUCAAAAUAUCUCUCUCUCCUCCUCAACUUCCACCCCCCGCUCCAGGAAUACCCUCUCUAAAAACUCAUCCUCCACCCACCUUUUUCCUCUUCUUCUGUAACCCUGCUUGCCCCCAAAUAUCUCUUCUGCCAGCACGUCCAAAAAGCCUGCACCAAAAAGCACCACCUCCCGCUUCUGCCCGCCACCUCCCUCUCUCUCAUACGCUCCUCAUAACAGAAAAAUGCUGCCCUCUCUGAAGAUCCUUCCAGGUGUCAACCAUUCAUUGGCUUCUUCAACUCCACUACUUGAUUCACUGAAGGCCAAUUACGGGGUGACACGUGGCUCCUUGAGAGCCCUCCACCUGCAAAGAAAAAAAUAUCCUGUAGAAGUGCCAAAGAGUGAACCCCAAAUUGGGGGUCUACACCUAUUCUUAUAUUUUUAAAUAAAUCUUAAAAUUAAUUUUUAGAUGUAACAUUUUACUUUUAAUUAUUUUCUAUAUUUAUAUCAUUAUAUUUCAAAAUAACCCUAAAAAAUAAGUGAAUAAAUUAAAUAUAAUUAGAAAGUACUCUAUUUUUAAAAUAUAUGGAAUUUUUAACUACCUUGAAAUAUUAGUUUUAAAAUUAAAUACUCUUAAAAAAUAAUCAUUUCUAAUUUUUUUGUUGAAUGAAAUUAAAGGUAAGUUAAUAUUUUUUUAUAUUAAAUUUUUAUUUUUAUUUUUUAAAAAACAAAAAAAUAAUAAUUUAAACACAUGUGGAUAGCGUUUUUUAUUUUUUAUUUUUAAAUUUAGGUUUAAAAUUCUAUAAAAAAAAUUUAAAAAAAAAAAUGAGAUGCAUAAUAUGAAAUUAUAAAUAUUAUAAAUAUAAAAAUAUUAUGAAUAGGAAACAAAAUAAAAUAUUAUCUAGGAAAAAGUAGAUUUUAAUUCACUAAUUUGAAAAAAUAUUAAAAAAAAAAAAAAACCUCAACUUUUAUAAAUCAAUUUUAUCUUCAUUAAUUUAAAAAUAUUUUAAAAUACAUACACUUUUAUAAUUGUUUUCAAAAAUACCCUUUUACUUAAUAAUAUUAAAUUAAAUUAUCAAAAAAAUAAUUUAUCAUAUAAAAAGUAUCUUACAUAUAAAUAUAUUAUAGAUUUUUUAUUAUAUAAUAUAAAACACAAAUCAUUUUGCAAAAAAUUAUGCAGUUCCUCAAGUAAUAAGUAAAAUUUUUUAAUUCCUUAAUUAAUAAUGAUUUUAUAUCCUAUAUUAUAUAAAUUCAAUCAUCUUCUCAUAUAUUUUUUUAAAAAUAAAAUAAAAUAGAAUAAAAAUUAUGUAAGUUGAAAUCAACAAUAAAAUAAGAAAUUUUAAAAAUUAAAAAUACGAUUAAAACUCAUAUACUUAAAAAUUAAAUCCAAUUAAAACAAAAAAAAUUAAAAAUUAAAUACAAUUAAAUCCAAAAAACUUAAAAAUUGAAAAAAUAAAAAUUGACUCUCAUUAUAUUUCAAACUCUUUCUGAAAUCUAUAUUUUUUAUUACUAUGAUUUAACUAAGUGAAAGUUAAUAUUUUAUUUUUAUAUUUUUAACUUUAAAGUUUUUUUAGUUUUAAUUUUAAAAUUUUUUAUUUUAUUGAUCUCAAAUCAGUUCUCACAUAAAAUUAUUAAUCUAUAUUAUUAACCUUAUAAGUAAAAUGUUAUUUUAGGAAAUAAUUAUUUGAAUUGUGAAAAUGUGCAUAUAUUUUAAAAUGUUUUUAAAUGGAUGAACAUAAAACUAAUUUAUAAAAGUUGAGGUUGAUUUUUCUAUAUUUUUUCAAAUUAGUAAAUCAAAACUCACUUUAUAUAUUAUUUAAGAUAUUAGUAUUUAUUUAUUUAUUAGAUUAUUAAUUAUCAUGUGAAUAUAUUUUUAUAUUAAAAACUAAUUUAUUUUAAUGCAUUAAUUACACAUAAUGUUAAAAUAAAAAUUUAAUAAAGAAUAUGAAAAAAAAUAAUGAAUAAAUGAAUUGUACUUUUAAAAAUAAAUUUUCCUUUUUUAAUUUAGUAGAUUUUUAAAAAUAGGGAAAAAUAUGAGAAUUAUUUUGAAAAAAAAAUCAAAAUUUAAACAAUGUAUUAUUUUGAACAAAAAUCAAAAUUUAAUAAUUAAAUAUAAAUAAUAAAAAUAUUUUGAUAAUAUUUUAAAUAAUAUAUUAUAUAAUAAAAAGUAAUUUUUAUACAAACUUAUAUUUAAAUUACGACACUACCCUUAAUUUUAUUUUUAUUUUUUAGAAUCAGGCCCAUAGACUUUGAUAGAAAUGGUCCUGAAGUCUCCUACCCCACCCUUCUUUUUUGCCAACAGAAAGCAGAAUACUCCCACUUAAACUUCAGAUUCCCCCACUUCUCUCUCUCAUAUACACACCUGUAACAUUGUAGAAACACACCAAGCUCCACAUUUUCUUGUGUGGCAGGCUUAAUUAAUUCUUCAGCCAUGUCCAGCUUAAUUCAUAAGGGCAUUCUCAAAACUGAAGCCCUCACAAAGGUAAGUUUCUUUAUGAGUUCUCUUUUUUUUUUGUGUGUGUUUUUAAUGCAGUUUGUUAGUAAUUUUCAGCAGAAAGGUUUGGGGUUUUGGUUAUCUCUGGGGCUAUUCAGAUGAUCUCUCUGUAAAAAUUAUAAUAUCCCAAUUCAAAGUUAUGUUGUUUGUUUUAUGAAAUUUUUUAGUAUUGAAAGGGAAGAGGAUGAGUAAGCCAAACUCCAUUAUGGAUUCCUAAUGAUUGAAAGGUGAAUCUUGAAGCAAUCUACAUGCUGAAGUCUUUUUUCCUUUGUUGUGUUAGAGUAUAUAUUGGAAACAAGUGCAUAUCCAAGAGAGCAUGAGCAGCUGAGAGGACUCAGGGAGGCCACUGUAGAAAAGCAAGAGUUUUGGUAUAUUUAUAUCUCUUCUUUUAAUAAUAACAUUUUUAAAAAUUUUAUAUUAUUAUGUAAUAUUCAUAUUAAUAAUCUUUUAGUUUGUAUUUGGAAGAUCCAAAUUAAGGUAAAGAGAAGGGACAUUCCUCUCUUUCUCUUAAUUCCUAUCCCUAUCUACCAAGUACCAAAUACACCUUCAUGCAAAUAUUCAUCAUUUUUUUUUUCUUAUUUACUUGAAUGUUGUGAGCAUGUGGCAUGCAGGAGCAUCAUGAAUGUGCCUGUUGACGAAGGACUGUUCAUUUCAAUGCUUUUAAAGCUCAUGAAUGUCAAGAAGACAAUUGAACUCGGAGUUUUCACCGGUUAUUCUCUCUUGGCAACCCCUCUUGCCCUGCCUCAAGAUGGCAAGGCAAGGCUCUCUAGAAAAGAAAAUAGUUUCCAAAUUUAGAAAAUAUUUUUGAAUUUCUGACAUAAAACAGUUUUAAGUUUUCAAAUAGGAUUUUGUUCUCGAAAACAAGUGAGGAUUAUUUUCAAGGAGUGUUUUUUGUGCAGAUAAUAGCUGUUGAUCCGGAUAAAGAAGCGUACCAAAUUGGAGUGCCAUUUAUCAAGAAGCCAGGUGUGGAGCAUAAGAUCAACUUCAUCCAAUCGGAUGCAAUGUCAGUUCUAAAUGAUCUCAUUGCCGAUGUAAGUGUCGUCUCUGUAGCCGCUGCCUUCAACCAAACACCUCUCAAUUUGAAUGGAUGUGUGCAGGGGAACGAAGAAGGGACAUUGGAUUUUGCGUUUGUGGAUGCUGAUAAGGAGAACUACCUCAACUACCAUGAGCUGCUGCUGAAGUUGGUUAGAGUUGGAGGCAUAAUCGCUUACGAUAACACUCUAUGGUUUGGUUCAGUAGCGCGAUCUGAAGAAGAAGAAAUGAUGGAUUUUGAGAGAGCAGGCAGAGUCCAUCUCAUGAAGUUGAACAAAUUCUUGGCAUCAGAUCCCAGGGUUGAACUCUCUCACCUUUCCAUUGGAGAUGGCAUCGCGCUCUGCAGGCGCCUCUAUUAGCCUAAAUCCAUUCUCUUGAGGUUUAGGGUUAGCUUAUGGUGUUGAUUUUUCAAUGAAGUCUUUUGACGGAUUUGUAUUUGUAUUUGUAUUUGUAUUUAUUUCAUUUUUUUUAUACUCUAAUCUCAUAUAUUUAUACUCAUGUCCGAUAAUUUAAAUUUCAUCAUAUAUUUUUAAUAAUCAAGAUUGUAAAUUCUAAAAUAUAAAAUCGAUAUCCUAAAUUUUUUUUUUAAAAUUAUUUAAUUUGAGUAGGACUCUCAUGAGUUAAACUUCUAGGACUUGAAUACUAUUCAUUCAUUCCUUUCAUAAUUUAUGCAUAUCAUUUGGUUCAACUACAUAAUGAACUCAAUAUCUAUUGAAAAAUAUCAUUAAUAUAUAGGAUGGUAUGAACUUGCAAGUCUUAUUACUUUAUACUUAAGUUUCAUUACUCUAUCACUCAUGUGUGGUCUCAUUACUUUAUACCGUUGAUACAUAUUUUUGUAUCUUGAUCCAUCAUUUUAUACGUUCAUCCCAAUUUUUAAUUUUUUUUAUACAUUAGUUCUAUUUGUUUGUAACUUGAUUUCAUAUAUUUAUACCCUUAUUUCAUUAUUCAGAUUUUAUUAUAUAUUUUAACAAUCGAGAUUCGAUCUUUGAUAAGUAUCGAGCAAUUUAGAACUAAUAUCUAUUAUCUAAUAUAAAAUUGAUAUCGAGCAAUUUAAUAUCUAUUAUCUGAACACCCAUUUGACAAUUAUAAUUGGUUUAAUCAAUUCUUUAAGUUUCAAAUUUAUAUCAAUUAUAUAAAUGGACUUACCUUUUAUAAAUAAUUUAUAAAAUUAAUAUAAGCUAUUAAUAAAAACCUUAUUUUUUUAAAAGAAAAAAAUUAUAAAAAUAGUCUAUUGAAUUUAUGCCAAAUAUUUCAACAUAAUGUCCACAAAUUAAAGAAGAGAAGAAGAAUAUAAUAAAAAGGCAAAUUCAUUACUUUGUAUUGCCAUUUCCAUUCAGAAUCAAUCCAUAUCCAAUGAAGAAAGCAAAAUUUUGGAAAUUGAAGCAUCUAAUUAUAGUGAAGAGUCCCAGUAUUGAGUGAGGUGAUGAUGUAAUGGAAUCAAUAGGAGAAAAAAGGUGGUAGAUUCCCUCUUGAAUGUCUCAAGUCUUUUUCUUACCAAAUUUGCACAUGUGAGUAAAUUUUGCACUAUUCAUUUUCCUUUUAUGGAUAGUUCCUUUAUCUCUCUCUCUCUCUCUCUCUCUCUCUCUAUAUAUAUAUAUAUAUAUAUAAUUUAUUUUGUUUAAUUUUACUUAGAACUUAAAGUAUAAGGUUGAUCUUAUUUAGUUUUUAUUAAAUAUAAAAUAACUUUUUGUACAAGUCAAAAUAUGAUUUUUACUGUUCUAACUUCUAUAUUCGACAUUUUUCUGAACUAUAAGUUUUUCUAAACAAAAUUAAUCAAAUAGGCAUAAAAGUUGGUAUGGACAAUAUGUUGAAACCCAAUUGCACAUUAUUAUGUAACUAUUAACAAAAUAAAUCCCAUUUUUGUCAACUUUUUAAUUAUAUUAGAUUAAUAAAUUUAUUAUUCUCAUUUAGUCAUUAAAAUAUUUUUAAAUAUUAAAACUUGAGUUUAGAGUUGUUAUUUGGCACAUCAACUUAAUGACUUAAUAACUUAGUGAUUUAACUUAUAUCAAUGUCAAAAUUUUUUUGUUAACAUAAUUUUAGAUGCAAGUAAAAGUAGGUUAGUUAUUUCGAUUUGAUACUUAAAAUCAUUUUUAACUUUAAGGUGCGAUAUUAAGAUAUUUUCACAAAAAUUUUGGGAUAGAUAUAAACUAAUUCAUUAAAUUACUUUAAGUUAUUAAGUUGAUUUAUCAAACAUCCUACUAAUAAAAACUCGUAAGAACCAAAGUUGCCCAUAGACUUGGCGGAGAUUAUGAAUUCCCAAACCAACCAUGAGUUGGGUUUGACAUGGAUUGGACAUAUUCAUAGGUUGAGUUAUCGCGUUAUCACGACACAUCGAGAAAUCCUUUUAACCAUGUGAGUUGCAGUUAUACUAUAUGUUUGCCAUAUAGCUCCUACUUGAUGGGAUUUCUUCCUUUUGGCUCACAUACACACCAGUAAAUAUAAUUCCUAGAAUAUGAUGGCAUGUAAAGAAGAUGUUUCUCUGAAUUGGAAUGAAAGAUCAGCAUCAUCUUUCACCCUCAAGUUUUUAUAUUCAUUGCUUUUGUACAAAAAGAUGAUCCUUCAGUGUUAGUUACAGUGCCCAAGAAUCAUAUUGUUUUAAUAUUUGCAAUAAUUUAUUUGUAAGAUUUGACACAUUGUUCUUACUUUGAAUGUAACAGUAAUGAGGAAGGGAUAGCUGGUAAGUCCAUUUCUGAAAGUAUUAGAUUCUGAGAAGAGGAAAUGGAUGCUUGCCUGCCCUUAUCGAUCUCCCAUCACUUUCUGGAGAUGCUUAUGAUUUGUUUAGUAUUCUCUUGUGAUUAACAGCUGAAAGGGUCACGUGGGGAUGGAGAUCAUCACCUGAAAAUGGUAAAAAAAGGGAAAUGAAUACUCGGAACUCGUGACGAUCUCUCAGGCUCCGCUAUGCUGAUGCAUGAAUAUGAGUUUAACCAUGGAUUCUGUCAUCCCCAAUUGCUGAAGACUGUCCUCCAACAAGAGGGAAAAAAAAGGGAUUUGUAAAGUUGAUGACAUGACUUGAGAAUUUUCUAUUGCCUAAUUCCCUAUUUUCUUGGGGUUGUUUGCCUCUCUAUGUGUGUAGAUAUAUAUAUAUGGAAGUAUACAACCUAAGGAGUUAGAAGAGGGGUGUCAGAAUAUACUUACUGGUUCAGUGCUGAAAUAACCAUAUAGUAGAGAUGAACUGCCAUGGACAACUCAAGGCUGUUGCUGCAAUGGUGGCUGUUAAUUUUGGAUUAUCAGUGGCGAAUGUACUUAUUAAGAUGAUCCUCGACCAAGGAGCAAACCAUUUGGUUGUCAUCACAUACAGACAGUCUAUUUCUACUGUUUUUAUAUCCACCAUCGCCUUCUUUCUGGAAAGGUAUAUUUGCCAUUUGCUCAAUGCCUAAAGCUGGCUAGCCAGCUAACUUCACUCAGUAUAUAAAGAUCUCAUGCAGAUAGUAUGUUUUUCUUGCAGGAAAAGCAGGCCAAAGCUCACAUUUCGGAUUUUAUGUCACAUUUUCGCUAGUGCCUUACUCGGGUUCGUUGUACUAAUCAUCGAUCCUCUUGAAUUACUACUCUCCGUAUUGUUGUUUUUGUUGAGAGCUUCUGAAAAGUACUGUGUUUUUCAGGGCAACUCUCACGCAAUACUUCUUCCUUCUUGGCCUUAAAUACACAUCUGCUUCUUUUUCUUGUGCUUUCAUCAACUUGGUGCCUGCAAUCACAUUCAUACUGUCAUUGGUAUUCAAGUAAGCAUAAAUCAUUAAGGUAUUCUUGUUCUUAUGAUUGUUGAGGGAAAAACAGUAGUUGUAAUUGUAUUGAGCUCUUUCAGGCUAGAGAAAGUGAACUUAGGAGGCAAGUGUGGGAGAGCUAAGGUGUUGGGGACAUUCAUUUGCAUUGGUGGAGCCUUAUUGCUGGGGCUUUACAGAGGGAUGCCAUUAACAAACCCUGCAUAUCCCCAAGCCGAAAUCCCUGGAACAAGCCAUGCCAAGACCAGCAUUUCAUCCCACAGGACAAAGAGCUGGGCCACCGGUUCAAUGGUUUUGACAGCAGCAAGUCUCACUUGGUCUUCAUGGUUCCUUCUACAAGCCGGAAUUAGCAAGAAGUACCCCUGCCAAUAUUCUAGUACCGCGAUAAUGUCCUUCUUCAGUGCCACCCAGGCAGCUAUCUUAAGUUCAAUUUUGGAUAGGGACCUCUCCUUGUGGAUUCUGAAAGGGAAGUUAGAGAUCUCUACUGUCAUCUUUGCUGUAAGUAUUCCCUCACAAUCCAAGUACUAAUAAGAAACCGGUAUUGCUUCAUGUGCUGCACUGUUCUUUAUGACAAUAAAUGGUUGCAGCAUACUUACAGAUUUCAAAAGCUCAUCAUUUCAUGUGUGGAUGCAGGGGAUUGUGGGAUCAGGCUUGUGCUAUGUGUUAAUGUCAUGGUGUGUAAAUAAAAAAGGCCCGGUCUUCACUGCAGCAUUCACCCCUUUCAUACAGAUAUUUGUAGCCAUCUUUGAUUUCUCUAUCCUGCAUGAACAAAUCCACCUUGGAAGGUUUUUUUUUCCCUUCGCCAUUCUCGAAAAAACCAGUCUCAUUUACAACAUAAUUACACCUUUCUAAGUUCCUAAUAUCCUCUACAUUUGUAAUGGACAGUGUUCUGGGAUCAAUCCUAGUCAUAGCUGGUUUGUACAUUCUUCUGUGGGGUAAAAGCAAGGAGGAAGAGGAUUGUGUGAUGAAGCAGUCCCAAGUAGCUGAAGAAGAUCCAGAAUGUGAUAUGGCCCCACAAGUUGUCCCAAUCACUGGAACUCAAUGAACCCUGAGUGAACCCGGGUUUUCAAAUAGCAUGUGCUUGAUGUACAAGAAAGAUAGAUUAUUAUGUGGCCAACUUGAAAGGACCUGCCAUAUGAAGAUCAUGAUAUCGAUCAAUUUCAAUGCUAACAAUAUUCCAGAGCAGAAUCACCAUGACACGUGCUUGAUAUACUAGAAAAAAACACAAAAUAAUACUGAUGCUGACUAGUAUCUUAUCAUUGCAUGAAAAAUUUUCUGAUUUGAGCCAUGUUUCUGACUGUUCUACAUGAACUAGAAUCCUAUGCCAUGAAUUGUUCAGUAUUCCUCUCAGGACUAAUGGCUUACUGCUUUGGCAACAAUGACACAUUGGCCUCACCCUUGAAAAGCACCCAUGGCCAUUUGUCAUUGCUUAUAUCAUCAGCAACGCAUGGGAUUCCAGUCUUUUGGUGCUUGGAUGCCUCCACCCAUGUCUUGCCACACCCACCUCCACAGACAGCAUACCCUCCUACUGUCUUUAUUUGGUAGAUAAUGAUGAUGAGGAGUAGGACGAAGAAGGGAUGUAGCAGGAUUCUUUAUAGCAUAUAUAGAUAUCAAAUCCAAAUAAAAAAUAGGAAAGAAAGCUUGUAAAAGUUUCCUGAUGACGUUCACGUACAUAUAUGCCUGUAAGCUCACUAAAGUUUAAAGAGACGACUAACCUUUCCCACCUUUAAUUACUGCAUCCAGAUCCUCCAAGGAACAAAUGUUAAAAUGAUAAAGAAUGGAUGCUUGAGAGCUUUAUAAACUAGAUGCUUAUUAUGUCAUUGUAUAUGUAAAACGCUGGCCAACAGUCCAGAUGUGAAUCAUGUUCAGCCAUCAAAUAUUUUGUAAGUUAAUCCAGUAAAGAAUUUAUGCUUCCUUCAAAACUUUAUGACACGAAGAUAAACUUAUAAACACUAUACAUUAUGGAUAGAUAUAUGAAGAAGAAUGAGUCAUAUUCGAGUGAAAUGAAAAGAGUAGAGAAGCAUGAGAUUUCUCUGGACUUGAUAAUUUAAUUUAAUUUUUUGCCUUUUAUAAUAUUCUAUAUAUUAUAACAAAAUGAUAUUUUUCAUUUGUGGAGGUAGAUAUGAUUAAUCGAAUCCCAUGAAGACCUAGUGCAUUUUUGGAUAUGAAUCAUUUUAUCUUUGUAUUUUUACUUUUGUUGACAUAACAUCAUAAAUCAUAAUUCUUUACAUUCUUUACAUGUGUGGAUGAAUUUAUAAAAACUAUAUAUAUAAUAAAUAGAGAUAUGAUAAAGAAUGAUAGACAAUUAACUGAUGAAAAAACAAAAGAUAUUUCAGAUUCAAUAAUUAGAUCUAAUUUCUAUAUUCUUAUUUUCUAUAAAAUAAUAGAAUCAUCUUUCUCAUAUGUGAAAGAAGAUGAUAUUGAUCCGAUCAUAUUAAAACCUUGUACAUUUUCAUGUAAAUUAUUAUUAUUUUAUCUUUGUAACAAAACAUGAUAAUCCUAAUUUUCAUGUGCAUCCAUUUUUUUGAGUUUUGGGUCAAAAUGACCCAUUUAUUAAAAAAAAAUAUAAGAUCUAACCAUUUUAUGAAACUCAUGUUCAAAUUGGCCUUUUUAGUGCCACAUAAGAGCCACGUCAUAAGAAAUAUAUAUAUAUAUUUAAUUUUAGUUAAAGUCUCAAUUGGCAAUUGAGACUUCAUUUUUGAAAUAAAGCCGUAGUUGUCAACUAAAACUUCAUUUUUUAACUGAAGUCAUAGUUGCUAUAAGAGGUUUUAGUUUUUGAAUUGAAAUCGUAAUUGCCAAUUGAGACUUUAUUUUUAAACUGAAACCUCAGUUAACAAUUGAUGCUUCAUUUUUUAACUAAAGUCACAAUUGCUGCCAAUUGAGACUUCAGUUAUUUUUUUUAAAAAAUUUAAAAUUUAAUUAAAAAUUAUUAAAUUAUAAUUUAUUAUUGAAAUUAAAAAAAAUACACUUAAAUAAUAAAUUAUUUAUAUUUAAACUUAAGAAUCUAGUAUUACUUCAACAAACAUAAAUUGAUAAAUAGAAGAUAUUAUAAAUAAAUAUUUUAUUUAUUAAUAAAUUAAUAAUCUUAAAAUAAUAAAUUUAUAUAACAUAUAAAUAAGAUAUAAAAUUGUAUAAUUUAUUAAUUUAAGAUAUUUAAUUUGUUGUUUUUUAAGAUAUUAAUUUAUUUGUAUUAUGAUAAAUUUAUUUUUAUUGAAAUAACAAUAUACUUUUAAGUCGCAGUUGCCAACUGAGAUUUUAAUUUUUUUUUUAAUUUCAAAUUUAAUUAAAAACUAUUAAAUUACAAUUUAUUAUUGAAAUUAAAAAUAUAUACUUUAAUAAUAAUUUUUUUAUGUUUAAACUUAAGAAUAUAGUUUUACUUCAACAAACAUAAAUUAAUAAAUAGAAAAUAUUAUAAAUAAAUAUUUUAUUUAUUAAUAAAUUAAUAAUCUUAAAAUAAUAAAUUUAUAUAACAUAUAAGUAUAAUUUAUUAAUUUAAGAUAUUUAAUUUUUUUUAAGAUAUUAAUUUAUUUGUAUUAUGACAAAUUUAUCUUUAUCAAAAUAAUAGUAUACUUUUAAACCGCAGUUGACAUAUAUAGAAUUUUUGACAAAAUUAGUUAAUGAGAUCCAUUAGAAAAAGUUUACUACAAAAUGUAAUUUUUAGUAGUUUAAUCAAAGUCACAACAAAUACCCAUUAAACAUUAUAUAGUAGAAAAAAAAACAUAUAUAAUUUCACAUGCCUCCACAAUGAGAGAACCUAUGUGUAACUGGUACUCUCUUCAUUUUUGGUCGUUUUUCUCUAAAUAUAGCAUGUACUGCAUGUGACACAUGAAGAACAUCUGUCUGUGAUGGAAUUGGAGCUGGAAAUAGAGGUGGUGGUGGAGGUAGCAAUCUAAGUCAACGUGGGCCCCGCCUACCUCUUGGAAUGGCUGGCGGCAAAUCUAGUUGAGUAGAUGUGUCAAUCUGCAUAGGCAUAGAGACAAAUAUAGAUGUCUUUGGUGAUGGUAGAACUGAUGUCCUAAACUUAGGUCCUAAUGGAGUAGCUAAGGAAGCAUUUAUGUGCAAUGAAAAAUGAUCGACAUAUGGGGUAAAAGGCACUGAAAGUGGAUCUGAAGAGGUAAGUGGUGGUAGGUCUGAAGAGAUAGGAGGCUGCACUGAUGAUAGGUCUGAAGAGAUGGGUGAUUGUACUAAUAGUAAGGAUAAAAAGUGGGCCUUGAAAUUAACCCCAAUUUGAGAAACUUAUCUUAAAUUCUCCACCAGAAGGCUUCACCCUCAAUCAAUUUCCAAACCUCAUUAUCUUGAGAGGGACACGUGGACGAACCCUCACAUGUGUGGUAUACAACCCCCAUUAAAAGUUAUAUAUAUGCCUACCCCAUUCAAAGUUUCAACUUCCAGUGGGUGGAAUAAUGAAGUUAUAUAUGUACCUACUCCUAUUAAAAGUUAUAUAUAUACCUACCUCCAUUCAAAGUUUCAACUUCACACUUUUUUUUUUUUAAUAGGAAGGAAAUGACUCACCUUUCUCAAACUCCGUAAAUUUUUUUUUUUUUUUAAAUCACCUUAAUAUUUGAAGGAUAAUUUUUAAUAAAUUUAAAUAUCCAUAAAAAUAUAUAAAUAUUUAAAAUUUAACCUUCAUAUAAUCAAGUCGUAAUUCAAACAGAAAACGGUAUUAUAUUUUGAUAAUAUUUUAAAUAAUAUAUUGUAUAAUAAAAAAUAAUUUUUAUACAAACUUAUAUUUAAAUUACGACACUGCCCUUAAUUUGUAUUUAUUUAUUCAUUUUUAUACAUAGGAUAAUGCCCAUCGACUCUAUGAUAGAAGAAACGGUCCUGAAGUCUCCUACUCCACCCUUCUUUUGGGCCGACAGAAAAGAGAACACUCCUACUUAAACUUCAGAUUCCCUCACUUCUCUCUCUUAUACUCACAUCGUAGAAAUAAACCAAGCUCCUCAUUUUCUUGUACGGCAGGCUUAAUUCAGUCUUCAGCCAUGUCCAGCUCAAGUCACAAGGGGAUUCUCAAAACUGAAGCCCUCACAAAGGUAGGUUUCUUUAUGAGAGUAUAUCUUAUAUUUCUAUACCGAAGAUAUGUCUACAAGGUCUUGAAUUGAAAUGAAAAAUAUGGAGUCCUGAUGAUUAAAAGGUGGAUCUUGAAGUAAUCUACAUGCUGAAGUUUUUUUCCUUUGUUGUGUGACAGUAUAUAUUGGAAACAAGUGCAUACCCAAGAGAGCAUGAGCAGCUGAAAGGCCUCAGGGAGGCCACGGUAGAAAAGCAUAAGUAUUGGUAAUAUUCAUAUUAAUAAUCUGAGUUUAUAUUUGGAAGAUCCAAAUUGAGGUAUAGAGAAGGGAUGUUAUUUAAAAUUAAUCAGCUUGAAUCCUCAAAAUUAUUAUUAUUAUUUUAAUUAUUUUUAGUCCUUUUCUCAAACCUAGUUUUUUCCCCCUUCAAUUUGAAUUAUCGAAAGUGCAAGAAAAAGAGAAAAAAAAAAUUUAUUUAAUGAGUAUUCAAGAAAAAUGUUUCUACUAAAAAUAUUUCAAAUAGAAACAUUAUCAAAGUGUGUUUGAUAGUAAUUUUAAUUUUUUUAAUAUUUAAAAAAUAAAAAUUUUCAAAUAUUAAAAAGUUUAGAAACACUUCUUAGAAUUAUUAAACGCAUUCUAUUGUUUUCAAUUUUUCUAAUACUUGAAAAAUAAAAUUUUUUUAAUGUUAUAAAUAUUAAAAACAUUUUUUAAAAUCAUUAUCAAACGCACUCUAAGUAUUUUUUAUCAUUUAUUAAUUAAUACAAAUUUUUAAGUGUUAAAAAAGUUUGGAAACCCUUUCUUAAAUCACUGCAAAAUGGACGCAAUCUCCAAAUAUCACAUUUUUCUUCAAACAAUUUUCUCCUUUUUGUUUUUUUUUUUUUUUCUCUCCCAAUAAGUUGUUUUCUUCUCUAUUUUUCAAUUUCUCUGACUUAUUUUAUAGUUUGGACUGAACCUCAGCCAUUGGAUUGGCCUCAAAAUAAGCCCAGCCCAGCCAAACCGAGUCCACUAAAAUCUCUGGCAAUAGGCAGGCAUAAAGGUGAUAGGCAUAUAUUAAGGGAAACUGUGAUAUUUAUUUUUAUUUUUAUUAAUUUUUUAAUAAAAAUGAGAGUAAGAAUUAAAAAUUCGCUAUCAUAUAAAUCAAAAUUCAUUUUUUCAUCAUUUUAUUUCCAUUCCACAAUAAAUAAGAAUGGAAACAAAAAUAUUCAUUCUCAUUCCCAAUUUCUGAGUGCCAAACAACCCCUUAAUUCACUCUCAUUCUCAUUCUCAUUCUCAUUCCUAUCCUAAUCUACAGUGCAUUAAUAAUUUAAUUCCUAUGUGGCAUGCAGGAGCCUGAUGAAUGUCCCUGUCGAUGAGGGACAGUUCAUUUCAAUGCUUCUAAAGAUCAUGAAUGCCAAGAAGACAAUCGAGCUCGGAGUGUUCACCGGUUAUUCUCUCUUGGCAACAGCUCUUGCCCUGCCUCAAGAUGGCAAGGCAAAGCUCUCUAGAAAAGAAAAUAGUUUUCAAAUUUAGAAAACAUCCUUGAAUUUCAGACAUAAAAUAGUUUUUAAAGAAUAUAUUCAACUGUUCUUCGUAUUUAAGUUUUCAAAUAGGAUUUUGUUCUCGAAAACAAGUGAGAAUUGUUUUCAGGAAGUGUUUUUUGUGCAGAUAAUAGCGGUUGAUCCAGAUAAAGAAGCGUACCAAACUGGAGUGCCAUUUAUCAAGAAGGCAGGUGUGGAGCAUAAGAUCAACUUCAUUCAAUCAGAUGCAAUGACAGUUCUAAAUGAUCUCAUUGCCGAUGUAAGUGUCUUCUCCGUAGCUCGGGCCACCGCUGCCUUCAACCAAACACCUCUCUAAAUGAAUGAAUGAAUGAAUGUGUGCAGGGGAACGAAGAAGGGACAUUGGAUUUUGCGUUUGUGGAUGCUGAUAAGGAGAACUACCUCAACUACCAUGAGCUGCUGCUGAAGUUGGUUAGAGUUGGAGGCAUAAUCGCUUACGAUAACACUCUAUGGUUUGGUUCAGUAGCGCGAUCUGAAGAAGAAGAAAUGAUGGAUUUUGAGAGAGCAGGCAGAGUCCAUCUCAUGAAGUUGAACAAAUUCUUGGCAUCAGAUCCCAGGGUUGAACUCUCUCACCUUUCCAUUGGAGAUGGCGUCGCGCUCUGCAGGCGCCUCUAUUAGCCUAAAUCCAUUCUCAUGAGGUUUAGGGUUUGCUUAUGGUGUUGAUUUUUCAAGGAAGUCUUUUGACGGAUUUCCAUUUGUAUUUGAACUCAUGUCCAGACUCUGUUUUGGGAAUGAAUUUCUGCUUCAAGUUUAAAUUGAAAAUUUUGGACACUGCCACUGAUGUAUCUAUUAGGAAUACAUCUCCUUCCUGGCUUUACAGAGAGAGCGGAGAGGUUGUAUCAAAAGAGUGCCUUGAUUUGUUCCAUUGAGUCCUAGAACAAGGUUUCAUUCAUUCUCCCUUGGACGACCUCUCAAUUUGGUUCUUCAAGCCAUGUCGAAGAGUGGCCUAGAUGUGGGCUUAAAAAAGACUUUUUAUGGUCGGAACUUAUAUGGGCCUAGCACAACACUGUCGACUUAUGAUAUGAAGGACUUGUUUGGAAACAUUUUAAAACAAUUUUUUAGAAUAAUUUUAGAAAACAGUUUUUUUUUUUAUUUUAUGUUUUCUAUAAUAAAAAAUUGUUUAGAAACUUAAAAUAUUUUUAACCUAUUCUUAUAUUUUUAAAUAAAUCUUAAAAUUAAUUUUUAGAUGUAACAUUUUAUUUUUUAAUUAUUUUCUAUAUUUAUAUCAUUAUAUUUCAAAAUAACCCUAAAAAAUAAGUGAACAAAUUAAAUAUAAUUAGAAAAUACUCUAUUUUUAAAAUACAUGGAAUUUUUCAUAAGUGGGAUAAUUAUUAUCUAAAAUGACUUUUUUAUUUGUCAGGUUGAUAACACCAAUUGACAAUUUAAAAUAUAUAUAUAUAUAUAAAAUACAAUUAAAACUUAAAAAAAAACUUUAAAAUAAAAAAUUGACUUUUACUUUGUUAAAAUACACUAGUAGAAAAUAUAGAUAUCAAGAAAGAGUUGAAAAUAUAAUAGGAGUCAAUAUUUUAUUUUAUUUUUAAAGUUUUUUGGUUUUAAUUGUAUUUAAUUUUUAAGUAUUUUAGUUUUAAUUGCAUUUUAAUUUAAAAAAAAUUAUUUUAUUAUUGAUGUCAAUUAAAAAAAAUUAUUCAAUUUUGAUUAAAAAAAAAAUUAAAAGAUGAGUGAAUUUAUAUAACACAGGAUUUAAAAUCAUUAUUAAUUAGGGAAGUGUAAAUAUUUUAUUUAUGAUUUGAGGAUCCAGAGAAUUUUUACACAAUGAUUUGCAUCUCAUAUUAUAUAAUAAAAAAUUAUAAUAUAUUUGUUUAUAAGAUACUUUAUCAAAUUAAAAUGAUAAAUUUAUUUAAUAUUAUCAAGUAAAAAGGUAUUUCAGGAAAUAAUUAUUUGAUUUAUGAAAAAAUGAGUGAAUUUAAAAAAAUUUUAAAUUGAUGAAGAUAAAAUUGAUUUAUAAAAGUUGGAGUUCUUUUUUUUAUAUAUUUUUUAAAUUAAUGAGUCAAAACCCAUUUUUUUCAAUUAUUAUUAUUGUUAUUAUUAUUAUUUUAAAGUAUUUUCCUAAAGUCAUUCCAAAAGUAGUUGGCAUGUUAUUUUGAGUUUUGGGGUAAAAUAGUCAUUUUAUAAAAAAAAAUAAAAAAAAAAAUAUAAGGUUAACCACUUUGCAAAAUUUUUGUUCAAAUUAAUCCUUUUAUUGUCAUGCAGAGUCCAAUGAAAAAAAAAAAAAAAAAAUUUUCAAAAUUUAACUUGAAGUCUUAUAUGCCAAGUAAGGCUUCAUUUUUUAGCUGAAAAUGAAAACAAGAUGGAGAGAAUGGGAAAGGUGGGGGAAAAUAAAGUAAAUUAAAAUAAUUAAAAAUAAAAAUUCUGAUUGACGUGAUCCAAAUGGGCUAGUUUAUAAGUUUCAACAGCAGUCCGAUAUGCAUGCAAGGAAUGAUAGUUGGUAGAUAUUUUGAAUGUAAAAGAGGAAGAAAAAGACUAUAUAUAUUAUAUUAGGGUGGUUUCUGGCAAUUCUAACUCCCACAAAUUGCUCCUCCGAUCUCUUAUUUUGGUUGGAUCAAGUUGAUUCAACUUGACUUAGACACCCACCCAACUCUAGCAAUUAUAAAGAUUAAAAAAAUUAUAAUGAAAAUGUUAAAUGAAAUUAUAAACAAGUGUAAAACUAAAUUUUAAUUUAUUUUUUAUAUUAUAGACAUAUUAUAAUUAAAAUUCAAUUAAUUAAGAUUUUAAAAUUUAAAAGUUAAAAAUUAAAGCAAUUAAAAGUACUAUAUUUAUAAAUUUAAAAUUUUAAAUAGGUUAAAUGAGUUAGAAUCAUAUUAAUAAGUUAAUCAAGUUAGAAUCUUUUGUUGAAUUCAAUAGAUUAUAAUUGUAUUAAGAGACUUGAUAUGCCCUAAUUGUAGCAACCUGUUUUAGUUUGGUUAUUUGCCCAAUAUGACUAUCAUAAGUACUAAGGUUGAACUUAGAAACCACAUCUAUAGAAAAAUGUUGCCAAUGGAUCUCCUUAUUACCAACCUCGUACCCUUGAAACCAUUCUAAGGCUCUUCCUUCUAAAUGUAAGGAAGUCAAUCCUACCUUCUCAUGAUCUCCAAUUCCAUUAAAUUUUAAAAAAUCUAUCACAUUUCUAAAUCCACCUACUUGGAUUCUCACCUUCAAAAGUUGGGAAAUUGAGUUUGGAAAACUUAGUUUGAAGAAAGUUUGUGCCUUGUGAGUGAUAGUCUGUCUCGUUUAUGUUGAUUGAAGCACUAUCCCCAUUCCUAGACUCCUCCUUUCUAGAAGUAACUUAUUUGAGUUUCAGGUUUAUUGUUGCAACCAUUCUCGAUAGUUUCUUAAUUUUAGCAACUUUUCUUCUUCAAGAAGUUUUACCAACAACAACAACAACAUAAUAAUAAUAAUAAUAAUAAUAUAAAGAUUAAUUUCUUUUUUUAGGAAACUUAUCCCUAAGAGAAUAUCUACAUAUAUAUAUUUUUUAUUCUUUUCUGACUUAGAGACUUAAUUUCAUAAUCUUUCAAAUUUGUGCAACAUGUCUAAUAGGCCCAAAUUUUAUUGGACCAUAAAAUUACCUCUCUUUUUUUAAGAUUAAAUUUAAUGACAAUUUAAUUCACUCAAUUUUUUAUGUCUACAAAUACGUGUCAAUUACAUGAAUUGACAUGUGCAUGGGGUGGGCCUUGAAAUUAACCUCAAUUUGAGAAACCUCUCUUAAAUUCUCCACCAGAAGGCUUCACCCUCAAUCAAUUUCCAAACCUCUGUAUCUUGAGAGGGACACGUGGAGGAACCCCCACAUGUAUGGGUUGUAUACAACCCCCAUUCAAAGUUAUAUAUAUGCCUACCCCCAUUCAAAGUUUCAACUUCCAGUGGGUGGAAUAAUGAAGUUAUAUAUGUACCUACUCCUAUUCAAAGUUAUAUAUAUAUCCCCCCCAUUCAAAGUUUCAACUUCACACCCUUUUUUCUUCUUUUUUUUUUCUUUUAAUAAAAGGAAAUGACUCACCUUUCUCAAACUCCGUAAUUUAAUUUUUUUUAAAUCACCUUAAUAUUUGAGGGAUAAUUUUUAAUAAAUUUAAAUAUCCAUAAAAAUAUAUAGAUAUUUAAAAUUUGACCUUCAUAUAAUCAAGUCGUAAUUUGAUAGAAAGCAGUAUUAUAUUUUCGAUAUUUAUGUGCUAAAAUCUUCACCCAAUCUUCACUCAUAUAAAUUGGUUUGACUUGAAUGUAUAAUGGUGUUCAAGUUUUAAUAUUUAAUUAAAAUCAAAAUAAUAUUUGACAUUUAUACAAACAAAUUAUGACCUUAAUGCUAUGUUAUACUUUUAGGCUUAAGUGUUAAGGUUUUUAUUCAUGCGAAUUGACCUAACUUAAAUGCAUACUAAUGUUAGACUAUAAAUACUUUUUUUUCAUUUCUCACCCACCCCUGAAAUAAAGAGCUAGGCAAUUGCCCCGUUGAGCCUUUUUGACUGUUUAAAAAAAUAAUUAGGCAAAUAGGAAAUAUGAUAAAAAUAAAAAAAGUACAUAUAAAAAAUUAUUUUUAAAAACAUAAAAAACAGGUUAACCAAAUGAAAAUUGAUCCACCAAUUUUAAAACAAUAGAAACAAGUUAAAAAAAUUAUUCAACAAAAUAUUGAUUUUUGGAGGACUAGAAGCCUACUUAAUUUUGAAAAAAAAAAAAAUUGAUUCACAAAAAAUUAAACAUUCAACAAAAUUUUAAAUUAUAUUUAAAUUUUUAAAUAAUCUCUUUAAUUGAUUUGUUUGGAUUAGAUCUAUAAGUAUUUCAAAAAUCACGUUUUAAUUGUCAAAAAAUUCUUUUAAAAUAUACUUUUUGCACUUCUUUUUAACCAACAUAUAACAACAAUAAUAAUGUUUACAAAAAUAUAGGUCUUAUUUUGGUAACUAUUUUUCCAAAAUAGUUUUUUAAAAAUAAUUUUUGAAAAUCAUUCUUUAAUAUUUUAUAAAAAAACAAGUAAACCUAAGAUGUUGUUAACCCAUUUUUAAUGUUUUUAAAAAUAAUUUUUAUAUUCAAUAUUUUGUUUUUAAUCAUUCUAAUCGCUUUUAUAAUUAUUUUUAAAAUAGUUUUUAAAAAAUAAAUAAAAAAUAUUAUCUGAAAACAUCUUUCACAAUAGUCGUCAAAUGUAUUUUCUAUUUUUUUAUUCUCAAAAACAAAAGACUAUUUAAAAAAAAAUUAUAAAACAGGCCCAUAAUACCCUCAAAGACUUUUCAUAAUAAUUUUAAAACUUUUCUAAAAAAAUGGAAAUAUUAAAACAUUUUCAUCAUAUCAAAUUAAAAUAAAAGCAAAAAAUUAUACUCAAAUCAAAACAGUGUUUUAUAUGAAAAUAUUAUAAAUUAAAGAGAAAAUUGUGUUUCGGGAGGCCCAUUUCAAGGUAAUAUUGUUUUCGAAACCCAAGUUUGCAUAACCCAAGAUAUGUCCACUAUUUGAAGAAAAUUUUUCCUUUUCAUGCACUCUGGUCUUAGGUGUUAUUUCAUACCCAAAAUUGGUCUUACCCUUAGGCCAGCUCAGCGUCUAUAUCAGGAACCUAAAAAGCCCAAAAUCCAUGUCAGCCAAGACAUAAUUUAGUAAAGAUUCAUAUGUGAAUUGGAAAAAAAAUGAAAGCUGAAAGACGAUCACAAAAAAGACCCGAACCCGGCUGAGCUUUCAUUGAUUUUCAAGGGCAUGAGGUAUGUGGGUCAUCGUGAAUCAUGUUUUUCUUCAGUGGGUAUGGAUUAUUUUCGAAGUGUUUUAUGAUCUUCUUGCUCUUAUCAUGGGUUUCUUUGGAAACUUGAAUGAUAAUGGUGUUGGUUUACAAUAUAUCCGAAAUUGUCGAAUGAUAGUUUGAUUGCAUUCUUGUGGGGUUUUUCUAUUUGUUUAUUUUUUUUCUUUUAUUAAUUGUGUUGCAAUUUGUGGUUUCGAUGCUGCCAAUUUUUUCUUCUUGUGGUAGGAUCCCAAUUCGAAGCAUUUACGAACCACGAUUUGGGAUGCAUCAAUGGUAUUUUGUGAAAUUUCUGGUAAUGUCUAUUAUUCAUUUGAGAAUUUUAGCAUUAUUUUCAUCCAUGGGUUACGAAUUCAAAAUUGUUGAUCUGUUGAGUUGUGUUCAAUUUCUAUGCAAUCUGGGUCUUGAGGGCAAGGGCAGGGUUUCCACCUCUUGGUUUUGUAGGGGGCUCAACCUUUGAAGUCCUGUUUUAAGUGCCUUUAAGCCAUUAAUCAGGAUUUAGUUGCUUAUUCCCAGUGAGGGGAAGAACUAGAGUCUUAAGAGAAAGUUGCUAAAAUCAACUGUUAUAUUUCCUGAGAGAAAGAGUUGCUUAAAGUGGUUUUCUCAAGUUGAGAGUUGCCCAAAGUAGUGCCCUUCCUCUCCUGUGCAUGAGAGUAUCAUAGCGAUAAGAGAAAUUCCUGGUGUUCUUGCUGAUUUGCUUAUCAUAAUAGUAGUUUUUGGAUGCAAUCCCCUUUCUUUUGAUCUCUUUUUUCUGAUUUUAUCUUAGUUUUAGAUCUCAGUUUGAGUGUUAGCAAGGAGUCGUACCCUACAGCUCCCAAUUCUUAGUAAUUGGGAUAAGGCCUUGUUAAGGUGUAUUCUAUAAUAGAACAUUGCAAUAAUGAAAUUGCAUAGAUGGAUUCAGGCCUCAUUUUGCACAAUUUGUAUUCUUUUUUGCAUCAAAGCACUUUAAACCAGAAGAAAUUUGGGACUAUACCUUAGGUACUACCUUAGUGGCCUUUAGGUACUACCUUAAGAGCCCCUAGGUACUAUCUUAAGGGCCCCUAGGUACUACCUUAGCUAAACCUCAACUCAACCUCUCCCAAGCCUCAGACCUUCCUCUCUUACCCUUACACCAUCCCAUUAUGUGCUUCUCUUGAGUGCUCAAGUGGUCCACGAGUGCUUUUUAGGGACUGUACUUUAGGUACUAUCUUAGUGGCCUUCAGGUACUACCUUAGUGGCCUUCAAGUACUACCUUAGCUAAAGUUAUAAUAUAUUAUUAAUUAAGGAAGUAUAAAUAUUUUAUUUAUGAUUUGAGAAUCCAGAGAAUUUUUACACAAUGAUUUGUAUUUCAUAUUAUAUAAUAAAAAAUUAUAAUAUAUUUAUUUAUAAGAUACUUUAUCAAAUUAAAAUGAUGAAUUUUUUUGAUAAAUUUAUUUAAUAUUAUCAAGUAAAAAGGUAUUUCAGGAAAUAAUUAUUUGAUUUAUAAAAAAAUGAGUGAAUUUUAAAACAUUUUAAAAUUGAUGAAGAUAAAAUUGAUUUAUAAAGUUGGAGUUCUUUUUUUUUAUAUAUUUUUUAAAAUUAAUGAGUCAAAACCCACUUUUUUUCAAUUAUUAUUAUUAUUAUUAUUAUUAUUAUUAUUAUUAUUAUUAUUAUUAUUAUUAUUAUUUUAAAGUAUUUUCCCAAAGUCAUUCCAACUAAGUAGUAGGCAUGUUAUUUUGAGUUUUGGGGUAAAAUAGUCAUUUUAUAAAAAAAUAAAAAAAUAAAAUAUAAGGUUAACCACUUUGCAAAAUUUUUGUUCAAAUUAACCCUUUUAUUGUCAUGCAGAGUCCAGUCACAAAAAAAUUUUUAUUUUUCAAAAUCUAACUUGAAGUCUUAUAUGCCAACUAAGGUUUCAUUUUUUAGCUGAAAAUGAAAACAAGUUGGAGAGAAUGGGAAAGGUGGGGGAAAAUAAAGUAAAUUAAAAUAAUUAAAAAUAAAAAUUCUGAUUGACGUGAUCCAAAUGGGCUAGUUUAUAUAUAAGUUUCAAAAGCAGUCCAAUAUGCAUGCAAGGAAUGAUAGUUUGGUAGAUAUUUUGAAUGUAAAAGAGGAAGAAAAAGACUAUAUAUAUUAUAUUAGACACCCACCCAACUCUAACAAUUAUAAAGAUUAAAAAAAUUAUAAUGAAAAUGCUAAAUGAAAUUAUAAACAAGUGUAAAACUAAAUUUUAAUUUACUUUUUAUAUUAUAGACAUACUAUAAUUAAAAUUAAAUUAAUUAAGAUUUUAAAAUUUAAAAGUUAAAAAUUAAAGCAAUUAAAAGUACUAUAUUUAUAAAUUUAAAGUUUUAAAUAAGUUAAAUGAGUUAGAAUCAUAUUAAUAAGUCAAUCAAGUUAGAAUCUUUUGUUGAAUUCAAUAGAUUAUAAUUGUAUUAAGAGACUUAAUACGUUAAAAUUUUGUUCACGGGUUUUUGGGUUAAUUCAUACUUAGUUCAACUUAAUCUCAUCAAUUAACGGAUUAAAUGAAAAAAUUGUAUUUAUGUCAAGUUAUUCUAACAUGAUUAUGAAACAGACCCUAUUCGAGUGUAAUAAAUUUUCAUUAUUUUGUAAUUAUCAGAACAAGGGAUGAGAAUUGUUACCCGUAAUCCUCGUGCAUACCAAGUACCAACAACCUUCCUCAUUGCAGUCCAUUUCCAAUGGGAGAAGCAUCCCACCGGACGCCUUUCACUGGCUUUGUUUUGCUCAUUGCACUCAUAUUAAUAAAUCGAAUGGAUGAGGUCAAUAUUGAAGUUGAGACAUGAAACUUACUUGCAGAGUAGCUGUCACAUUGUAGUAUUGUACUUGGCUAGCUUCCUGCAAUUUACAGCAAUUCACAUGGAGCCAUGAAUUCCUCAUCUUUACCAACAAGCUUCCUCAAAGCUAAAUCAAAAUUUGUAUCACAUUCUAAUAUAUACUUGAUAUCUUCCACUUGAGAGUUCCAUGGGAUUUUCCACUAGACCUAUAGAAACAAGUUUAAAAUUCAUUUAAAACUUAUUAGAUGUUGUUGUACAAAGAACUUAUGUUAUGUUUGCUUCUCAUAAAAUUUGAAAAAAAAUUAUUAGAAAUAUUUAUAUGACAUGAAGAUAACCUUCUUAACACUAUACAUGAAGGGCUUUUCAGCCAGGAAGGAAGCUCAGAUAUGAGUAUGACUAUCCCCAACAGUGAAGCUCUUCAAAAGGUUGAUUUCUUUUGUUGCACUACUCUUACAAUGUAGUAACUUAGAAUGGAAAAUGUCCUCUCCUUUUUUCUUUAUAAAAUCAAGAAUGUUUAUUGAAAUUUGUAGAAGGGAAAAUGUCAUUAUUUUUUCUGAUAAAAAAAAAAAAUUGAGGAGAGAUUCCUCUCCUUUAAUAACACUGCACAAUCAACUCCAUUUAUGGCUUCCAUUAAAGUUUUUAAUAUUUUUAGAUAUUGAAUCCAUCGGUUGAUGAUAUGAAAGCCAUCUCAGAUGGAGAAAUUAUUUGGAGUUAGUUUUGGUUUACAAGUCACUUGAGGUCGAUUAUUGUAACUUCAUAUAUCUAUGCUACGUAUAAUUUUACAAGUGGGCCUAUAUUUUUUUUCUUUUCAAAAUGCCCACUGGAUAUCAAUCUAUUCCCUUUCUAAUCUAUUUCUCUUAUAUGUGAAGGGAAUUAAGACGAAUUCCCAACUUGUGAGAAAUAAAAAAAAAAAUAGAGAAAACACACACCAAAGAAAAAUAAUCACACGCACAAGACGGUAUUUACGUGGUUCGGCAAUUUGUCUACGUCCACGGAGUUGCAGGGAUAUCACUAUUAUCAAGGAAGAAUACAGAAUACUUCUAUCGGCUACAAUACUUUCUCUCUUUAUAUAACACAGCAACCACACCACAUUGAAAAACCCUAAUUACAAAAGACGGUUCCACAAUGGGCUAAACGGGCCUAUCGGCCCAAGCCUUCACUCCAUGGACUAAGCCUCAGUAAAUCUCCCAUUAAAAACCACGCAAUAUUAUUCAGGUCGGGUUGCCAAACCAGAUCAAACAAAACUAGGCUCCACAAAGCCCAAUAAAUAUCCCACUUGGAGACUAGUUCAAUCACCAACAUCAAACCGCUAUCUUCCAAGAAACAAUCCCUUAUCCCUAUAACUCAUUCUCCUGUCCUCAAGCUAGAAGACCAAUUGAAGCUGCGCACAGCUUCAACUUCUCAAUAGUGACACCCUUAGUCAACAUGUCUACCGGGUUCUUAGAUCCACAAAUCUUCUCAAGUAUUACCAGUUUAUCUUCAACAAGGUAACGGAUAAAGUGGUAUUUUGUUUGUAUAUGCUUCGACUUUGAAUGAAAAGCUGAACUUUUGGCAAGAAAAAUUGCACUCUAACUGUCACUGUGUAGAAUGCCCAUCUCUUGUUUCUUACCCAAUUCAUCUAAGAAACCAUAUAGUCAAAUCAUCUCAUUUUCAGCUUCAGUUGUUGCAACAUACUCAGCUUCUGUAGUAGACAAAGCAACAAUCUUUUGUAGAUUUGAAGCCCAUGAUAUAGAUGUACCACCUAGAGUAAAAACAAACCUAAUAGUACUCUUUCUAUUAUCAAUAUCACCAACAAAAUCAGCUUCUACAUAACCUUGCAGUUUCAAACUUGCACUUAUGAAGCAAAGACAUGUAUCUAAUGAACCCUUCAGAUAUCUUAGAAUCCACUUGACUGCCUCCCAAUGCUGCUUUCCAGGCCUACUCAUGAAUUUGCUCACAACUCUCACUGCAUGUGCAAUGUCUGGCCUUGUACACACCAUAACAUACAUCAAGCUGCCAAUAGCUGAGGCAUAGGGCACCUUGCUCAUAUGGUACCUUUCUUCUUCUGUCUUCGGUGACUGUUCUUUGCUUAGUUUGAAAUGACUACCCAAUGGUGUGCUCAUUGGUUUAGCUUCAUUCAUGUUGAACCUGCUGAGAACUUUUUUCACAUACUCUGAUUGUGAAAGGUUCAAUGUACCAUUAGCCUUGUCUCUAAUGAUUCUCAUACCAAGGAUUUGAUUUACAGCUCCCAAAUCCUUCAUUGCAAACUGUUUGGACAAUUGCUUCUUCACAUUAUUAAUCUUCUCAAUGUCAGACCCUACAAUAAGCAUAUCAUCCACAUACAACAGUAAUAUGAUGUAAGAAUUGUCAAAAGACUUAACGUAGCAACAGUGAUCAGGUUCACAUCUCUUGAACUCAAUUCUAUGUAUAAAACUGUCAAACUUCUUGUACCACUGUUUAGGAGCUUGUUUAAGGCCAUACAAGCUAUUUCUCAAUUUGCAGACUAGAUUCUCUUGUCCCUGAACAAUGAACCCUUUUAGCUGAAUCAUGUCAAGGUCGUCCUCCAAGUCACCAUGAAAGAAUGUUGUUUUCACAUCUAACUGCUCAAGAUGUAAGUUUUUUGUAGCCACCAUUCCCAGUACAAGUUUGAUUGUUGACAUCUUCACAACUGGAGAAAAUAUCUCUGUGUUGUCAAUGUCCUCCUUCUGCUGAAACCCUUUAACAACUAAUCUGGCCUUAUAACGUUUUCUACCAUCAUGCUCAUUCUUUAUUCUGUAUACCCACUUGUUGUGCAACAAUUCAGUCAGUUCCCAUGUCUGAUUCCCUAACAAGGAAUCCAUCUCAUCCUUAAUGGUUAACUCCCACUUGCUUGAAUUCUCAUCUUGCAAGGUUUCAUCAUAACACUCUGGCUCACCACCAUCAGUCAACAGGAGAUAAUUUAAAACAGGUGAAUAACGUUGUGGAGGUCUAAUGUUCCUAGAAGAUUUGCAAACUUCAGCUACAUGUGUACUCAGAUCUACCUGUGAAUUUACAUUCUCCUUAUCUUAUUCACUCCCUUUUUGGACAGUACUUUCAGUCAAUUCAUCUAAGUUGACAAACUCAGAUUUCUUUUGAUCUAUCUCUGUAACAUCUGACACUACAGUUGACCUAUCCUUGUACAUAACCUGUUCAUUAAAUAUCACAUUUCUACUUCUGAUGAUUUUCAUGUUUUGUUCAUCCCAAAACCUAUAACCAAAUUUCUCAUCACCAUAACCAAUUAAAAAACAUAUUUUAGACUUUACACCAAGUUUACUACAAGCAUUAGAAUCAAUAUGAACAUAAAAAACACAACCAAAAACUUUUAAAUGUGAAAAUUUUACCUCUUUACCACUCCAAACCUCCUCAUGAAGUCUGAACUCCAUGGGAACUGAUGGUCCUCAGUUUAUCAGGUAAGCUGCAAUGCUAACAGCAUCAGCCCAAAAAGUUUUUGGUAGUCCAACAUGCAACCUCAUGCUUCUAGCACGCUCAUUGAGAGUUCUGUUCAUGCGCUCAGCCACACCAUUUUGUUGUGGUGUCCCAGGAAUGGUCUUCUCCAUCCUAAUUCCCUGUGUAGCACAAUACUCACUGAACCCUCCAUCUAUGUACUCUCUUCCAUUAUCUGACCUCAAACAUUUUACUCUCAAACCUGUUUCUGUCUCAACCAUAGCCUUCCACUUCCUAAAAGUUUCAAACAAAUCAGAUUUAUUUUUCAGAAAAUAAACUCAUACAUUUCUAUUUAAGUCAUCAAUAAAAGUGAUGUAGUACCUUGAACCUCCAAGGAAUGCAACCUGAGAAGGCCUCCACAGAUCAGUGUGUACUAGUUCCAAUUUUUCAGCCUUCGGUGUCCUGCCAGUUUUCAAGAAGCUCACAUUUUUUUGCUUUCCUAGGAUGCAACUUUCACACAUGUCAAAAUCAAUGAACUUCAAUUCUGGUAGUUUUCCUUUUGACAACAGUAUCUUCAUCCACUUCUUACUCAUGUGACCAAGUCUACGGUGCCAUAGGCUUGUAUCAGUACUUACAUCAACAACUGCAAUUAUGUUUCUUGGACAUGAGGUCAUAUACAGAGUACCAGUCUUCUUUCCACGAGCCAAUACCCUAGCUCCCUUUGUAACCUUCCAAGUACCACCAACAAAUAGUAUUGCAUGUCUUUCAUCAUCAAGGUGUCCAACAGAAAUCAGAUUCCUCCUCAGGUCAGGAAUAUGACGAACCUUCUCCAGUAACCAAAUAGACCCAUUGGGCAACGAUAUUCAGACGUCUCCCAGACCCACAACAUCCAAAGCUGAACCAUCAGCCAAAUACACCUUACCAAAAUCACCUGCAGCAUAAUUCUGUAUGAUUUCUCGGUGUGGAGUAGUACGAAAUGAAGCUCCUGAAUCCAAAACCCAAUCGUCAAGUGGACUGUCUACUACAAGAAGUAAUGCAUCAUGUACCUCUUCUGUUACAGCAUUAGCAUAAUCAUCUUCAUUCUUCUUCUUAGGACUUUUGCAUUGCCUUUUAAAGUGACCUGUUUUCCCAUAGUUCCAGCAUUGUACUUAUUGGCCUGAUCUAGAUUUACUUCUGUUCCGAUUAGAAUUUCUGGAUUUUGAUCUACCCCCUUUUGAAUUUCUGUCAUUACCUCUGCCUCUUGUCUUAAGGUUUAGGGCAGAACCAGAUCCUGAGGUUUUGCUUGCAUCUCUUAGGCGAAUCUCAUCAGCCAUAAUUAAAUCUCGUAUAUCAUUGUAUUUGAGUUUUUUCUUUCUCGUAGAAUUGCUUACUGCCAUCCUCAUUGCCUCCCAACUGUUUGGCAAAGAAGCCAAAAUGAUCAAAGCAUGAAUCUCAUCAUCAAAAUCAAUUUCUACAUACUACAAUUGAUUUGUGAUUGUAUUAAAUUCAUUCAGAUGUUGUGCUACUGAUGCAUUCUCUGCCAUCUUCAAAUUGAACAAUUUCUUCAUCAGAUGCACCUUAUUGUUUGCGGACGACUUUUCAUACAUAUCAGACAAAGCCUUCAUCAAAUCUGUCGUGGUCUUCUCCUUUACAACAUUGUGUGCAACAGACCUAGAUAGAGUUAACCUAAUAAUUCCUAGAACCUGUCUGUCAAUAAGUGCCCAUUCUUCAACCUUCAUACUCUCAAGUUUUGUCCCCAAAAGAGGCAGAUGCAAUUUCUUCCCAUAGAGAUAAUCUUCAAUCUGCAUCCUCCAAUACGCAAAGUUUAUGCCAUCAAACUUUUCUAUUCCAGACGUUUUUCCUGCUUCCUCUGCCAUUGCUCCCACUCAAACCUAACCCUAUGCUCUAAUACUAGUUGAAGGGAAUUAAGAUGAAUUCCCAACCUGUGAGAAACAAAAAAAAAAAAAAUAGAGAAAACACACGCCAAAGAAAAACAAUCACACUCACAAGACAGUAUUUACAUAGUUCGGCAAUUUGCCUACAUCAACGGCAGAGUACUUUUAUCAGUAUUAUCAGAGAAGAAUACAGAGUACUUUUAUCGACUAUAAUAUUUUCUCUCUUUAUAUAACACAGCAACCACACUACACUAAAAAACCCUAAUUACAAAAGGCAGUUCCACAAUGGGUUAAACAGGCCUAUCAGCCCAAGCCUUCGCUCCAUGGACUAAGCCUCGAUAAAUCUCCCAUUAAAAACCAUGCAAUAUUAUUCGGGUCGGGUCACCAAACUGGAUCAAACAAAACUAGGCUCCACAAAGCCCAACAAUAUGCAUGUUGACAUUGGUAAUUCAUUCCCCCUUCCAUGGUGACUUUUCAAUUCAUACUUAUUCAUACCUGCAUUUCUUUCUAUGUUCAUUAAUAUCGGUUCAUUCCCUUCGUUUGUAGUAACUUUUUAAUUUAUAUUUCUCACAUAAGUAACACUACCAUCAUUAAAGGUGACAUUAUCUCCAUUGAAAUCUUCAAAAGACGUGGAGAUCGAAGAUAUCACUCAUUAGGGGCUCUAACUCUAAGUACAAUAAUAAAGACUACAUUGCCUUGGGUCUGUCAUUUUUUAGUUAAAUUUAUUUAACCGUAGGUGGAGAACUAAAGGAGCUUUUCAUAUGCUUAGUGUUGUUUUUCUCUCUUCUUAAUAUUUAGUAUUUAAUUUUUUAAGAAUUUUGACUCACUCACUAGUGCAAAAGGAGGUUGCAGGGUUAGAAGCUUCCCCUUACCCUUAACAAAAACUAUUUCUUCAUUAGUGGGGGUUUUAUGAUUGAAUCUAUAUUGUUUUCACUUAUUUUCUCAAUGAACCCGUUCAAGGGGAUUAGGGGAUUUGAACCUUUUCUUAUAAAUAAAAGGAGAAUUUCUUUGUUACCAUUAGGCUAUAAAAGUUUUUUGUUCAUUCCCGACCCACACCUAAAAUAAAGAGUUAGACAAUUGCCCCCUUCAAGCCAUUUGGUAGCUUUGUCACUAGUUGUUUUAAAAAAUAAUUAGAUAAAUAUGGAAAAUGAUAAAAAUAAAGAACUACAUAUAAAGGUUAUUUUUAAAAUAUAUUUAAAAACAUAAAAAAUAAGUUAAAAAUAUUUCACAUUCUCAAAUAGAAAUUGAUCCACCAAUUUUAAAAUAGCAAAAAACAAGUUUAAAAAAUUAUUCUCAAAAUAGACAUUUGUUCUAUAAAGCAGUAGAUAAAGGUUUCAAAAAUUGUUUUUAAAAACUAUUUUUUACAACUAUUUUUUAAAAUAGCUAUUAAAUGAGGAUUAGUCACGUGGAUCAUUUUUCCUAUUUUGUACUUGUCAUGAAAGAGAAUCUUUGGAUCCUAAGAACUUCUUUGAAGGAUUAUUUUUCCUCAAUCUUAUACUUCUGUGAAAGGGGAAUCCUUGACUUCCCAAAAAUUUCUUUUUUUUUUUCUCAAAAGAGGAAUGGUUAUGCAAGGUUAUUCUUAUGACCCAAGAAGAAGAUGCAAAAUUGAGAGAAUUAAGGGAACAAUUUUUUUUAUUAUUAAGAAUAAUUCAUCAUUGUUUUUUUUCCAUUACAUUCCUCCUAUUUAUAUAGACUAUGAAAUAUAAAUAGAAAUAGAAAUCAAUAAAAACUCAUCCUAAUAGAAACUAGAAACCUAUUGAAAAUAGAACUCCUCCUAAUAAAAACUACAAAUUCUAAGGAUUCUAUGGAUCAUUUCUUCGGGUUGUAACAUUCCCUUCCCAUCAAAAAAAGUCUUAUCCUUAUGGCUAAAAUAGUGGAAGCUUUUGUUGAAUCUUGUAACCAUCUUUCCAUGUUGUGUCUUUUGGAAACAAGUUGGACAAUUUGCCCUGUUGUUCCUUUUUAACUUCACAUGUUGCUUCCACUUCACUUUCAUGACCAUCUAAUAAAAAAAUUUGUUUUCUUUUACAUUUAUGACCAGGUUCAUAACAAUAAUAACAAUACCUUUUUUCUUGUCUCUCUUGCAUCCUUGUGGUUGAAAUCCUCUUAAUGGGUGGUAAUUGGCUAUUCUGAUUCAUUCUUACUCCCAUAGAGUUCACUGUACUCUCCCCACUUUCGUUAGAGUCCUUGACUUUUUUUAAGAUUGCCUUCAUUGCCCCUUCUUGUAGCAAGGCUAAUCCUAUGGUUUGGGAUAAUGUGCUUGGGUGAAACAUUGUGACUUGAUUUUUUAUUAUUUCUUCCAAGCCACUAAUGAAACAUUGAACAAAAAACUCCUCCAAUAAUCCACUACUUUUAGCCAUCAAUGCCUCAAGUUGCUCUUGAUAUGCCCUAACCGUAGCAACCUGUUUUAGUUUGGUUAUUUGCCUAAUAGGACCAUCAUAAGCACACUAGGGUCAAACCUAGAAACCACAUCCAUAGAAAAUUGUUGCCAAUGGAUCUCCUUAUUACCAACCUCGUACUCUUGAAACCAUUCUAAGGUUCUUCCUUCUAAAUGUAAGGAAGUCAAUCCUACCUUCUCAUGAUCUCCAAUUCCAUUAAAUUUUAAAAAAUCUAUCACAUUUCUAAAUCUACCCACUUGGAUUCUCACCUUCAAAAACUAGGAAAUUGAGUUUGGAAAACUUAGUUUGAAGAAAAUUUGUGCCUUGUGAGUGAUAGCCCAUCUCGCUUAUGUUGAUUAAAGCACUAUCCCCAUUCCCUAACUUCUUCUUUCUAGAAGUCACAUGUUCAAAUUUCAGGUUUAUUGUUGCAACCAUUCUUGAUAGUUCUAAUAAAGUGGUUGUUUGUUUAUUCGAUGAAUCCUACAAAUAUGAUAAAUUGGCUGCUUGUUUAUCUAAUGAAUCAUGCAAUUGCUUAACAAUAUCUUCAAGUUUUCGUUGUCCUUGCAAUAUAGUCCUUUCUGCCAUAAUUGGUGCCAAGACUGUGCUACCAAUUUUGAUGACCCAAGAAGAAAAUGCAAAAUUGAGAGAAUUGAAAGAACAAUUUUCUCUUAUUAAGAAUAAUUCAUCAUUGUUUUUUCCCGUUACAUUCCCCCUAUUUAUAUAAACUUCAAAAUAGAAAUAGAAACCAAUAGAAACUCAUCCUAAUAGAAACUAGAAACCUAUUGAAAAUAGAACUCCUAAUAAAAACUACUAAUCCUAAUGAUUGGUUAUUCUAAAUAGAAACUAAAUAAGAACCAAAGAUUGAGGGAUUCUAAGGAUCCUUUAUUUGGGUCCUAACAGUUAUCUAGAAAAACUUAUAAAACUAUGGUAAAAGAAAAUUUUCAUUCAGAGGUUGGUGUUUCUUAAAUACCAUAGUGUUUUCAAUUAAAAGUCAUUUCAGACCAUUUUUGGAGGAUUAAAAGCCUACCUACCUUUGAAAAAAGUUUGAUUUAAAAAAAAUUAAACAUUUAACAAAAUUUUAAAUUAUAUUUAAAUUUUUAAAUAAUAGCUUUAAAUGAUUUGUUUGGAUUAGCACUAUAAGUAUUUCAAAAAUAACGUUUUAAUUGUCAAAAUACACUUUUAAAAUAUACCUUUUUGCAACUUAUAUUAUUGCUUGAGUGCACUUGUUUCUCAAAAACAUAUAACAAUAAUAAUGUUUACAAAAAUAUAAGACUUGUUUGGUAAAUGAUUUCGAAAACCAUUUUCGAUAAUAGUUUUUGAAAAUUAUUUUCUAAUGUUUUAUAGAAAUAAAAGUAAACUUGAAAUAUUUUUAACAUAUUUUUAAUAUUUUUAAAUAUAUUUUAAAAAUAAUUUUAUAUCUAAUGUUUUAUUUUUAAUCAUUCUACAUACUUGUAUAAUUAUUUUCUAAAACAUUUUAUCUGAAAACACCUUAUUUUCUGUAAUAGUUUAUGGAUGUUAAACGUAUUUAUUUGUUUUUUCAUUCUACAAAAGAGAAAACUAUUUUCAAAACAGUUGCUAAAUAGACCCAUAAAGUCCUUGAAAACUUUUUAAACUUUUCUACAAAAAUUAAAAUAUUAAAACAUUUUUAUCAUAUCAAAUUAAAAUAAGGGAAAUCAUGUAAAAGUGUAUUGUUUAAAAAGAUAUGGAUGAAUUGAGAACCUAAAAAAGUGGGUUUCAUGGAGAUUAUUUUGGGGAAAAUAAUUCUCAUAUCAUCCGAUAGAAUAGUAACUUUCGAAUAAUACCUUUCAAUCAGUUGAGAGUGGGUUGUCACCUAUACAAGGGAAUUUGGCAAGCACCCUUACUUAGACCUUGCAUAUAUAGUUGUCACAUCACCUAUUAUUAUUUCAACAUCUACUUCAAACAUGUCAGGGACCAUAGUAACAUUGUUUUUAUCUAAAAGUAAUAAUAUUAGUAACUACAAGUAUCACUGUAUAUAACAUAAUGUACCACCCUAUUUAUCACUCACCAUCACUUUAACCUCUACAUCAAAUAUACCACCGUAUAUAACAACAUUGUUUUUAUCUAAUUUUAGUAACAAUAUAAGUAACAAAAGUACCACUAUAGAUAACUGAAUAUAUUAACCUAUUUAGUUUUUUAUUGUCAUUGUUAUGACUUUGAUGGUAAUUAUUUAAAUAAUAUGCAAAAAAAAAAUGCACAUAAUGUACUUUAUAAAAACAUUAUUUAUUAAAAAUAAAAAUAAUUUUAAUUGUAAAUUUUUAAUUAAACAAAAAUGUGCUUUUUUAUAUAUAUUUAAUAAAAAAAAUUAGUUUUUAUUUUUAUUUUUUCUUUUUAAACAUCAAUAUAAUAUGAUGAGAAUUGUGAAUUUAUAUUAAAACUUUAAUACAAACACUUUUAAAAUCUUAAUUUUAACUACCUGAAAUAUUAUUUUUAAAAUUAAAUACUCUUAAAAAAUAAUCAUUUCUAAUUUUUUUGUUGAAUGAAAUUAAAGGUAAGUUAAUAUUUUUUUAUUUAAAAAAACAAAAAAAAUUAAUUUAAACACAUGUGGAUAGCGUUUUUAAAAAAAAAUAAAAAUAAAAAUAUAAAAAAUGAGAUCCAUAAUAUGAAAUUAUAAAUAUUAUAAAUAUAAAAAUAUUAUGAAUAGGAAACAAAAUAAAAUAUUAUCUAGGAAAAAGUAGGUUUAAAUUCACUAAUUUGAAAAAAUAUAAAUAAAUAAAUAAACCUCAACUUUUAUAAAUCAGUUUUAUCUUCAUUAAUUUUAAAAUAUUUUAAAAUACAUACACUUUUAUAAUUGUUUUCAAAAAUAUAAUAAUUAAAAUACUAAAAAAAUAUUUCACAUUCCCAAAUAGAAAUUGAUCCACCAAUUUAAACAAGUUCAAAAAAAUUAUUCUCAAAAUAGACAUUUGUUCUACAAAAUAAAUACAAAUUUCAAAAAUUGUUCUUGAAUUUUUUUUUUUAAGAACUAUUUUCCAAAAUAGCUUCUUUGGAUCCCAAGAAUUUCUUUGAAGGAUUAUUUUUCCUCAAUCUUAUGCUUCGAUGUAGACACAAAUUUCAUAAAAGUCCUACAAAGUUAACAAAAAAAAAAAGGAAAAAUUUAUUGAAAUUAAAAUAUUGUGAGGUAUAAUCUCUAUGAUUAUAUUCUUUUAUAGAAGAAUAUAUUUAUUUGAUUCUUCCAUUUUAACCGCGACUCGAACAACCAUGAAAAAAUUGUUUUCUUGGAUUUGAAAAUCAAUUGAGGGCUUAAAUGACUUUUUCCCGAAUGAACUUGUAGAAUGACGAAAAACAUAUGUUUAGUCUUUUGCCAUUUAUCAAACUUGGCAAAUGAAAUUUGAUGAAACUUUUUCUUUUAUUGUAAAACAUCUUUUUCUAUACUAAAUUGCCUCUUGAUUUUCUUCUUAGGAUUUUUUUUAUUUAAUUUUUUCAGUUUCUAAAUCGGAUCUCUUAAAAGAAGUCACUUCUAUAAAAGGUGGGGAAUUUAAUUCUAAAUUCCCAAAUUUUAAUUGCUUAAUUUAAGGAAUUUAGUUUCUUAAUUUUAGCAACUUUUCUUCUUCAAGAGGUUUUAACAACAACAACAACAUAAUAAUAAUAAUAAUAAUAUAGAGAUUAAUUUCUUUUUUUAGAAAACUUAUCCGUAAGAGAAUAUCUACAUAUAUAUUUUAUUAUUAUUCUUUUCUGACUUAGAGACCUCAUUUCAUAAUCUUUCAAAUUUGUGCAACGUGUCUAAUAAGCCCAAAUUUUAUUGAACCAUAAAAUUGCCUUUUUUUAAAGAUUAAAUUUAAUGACAAUUUAAUUCACUCAAUUUUUUAUGUCUACAAAUACGCGUCAAUUACAUGAAUUGACAUGUGCAUGGGAUGGGGUGGGCCUUGAAAUUAACCCCAAUUUGAGAAACCUGUCUUCAAUUCUCCACCAGAAGGCUUCACCCUCCAUCAAUUUCCAAACCUCUGUAUCUUGAGAGGGACACGUGGAGCAACCCCCACAUGUAUGGGCUGUAUACAACCCCCAUUAAAAGUUAUAUAUAUGCCUACCCCCAUUCAAAGUUUCAACUUCCGGUGGGUGGAAUAAUAAAAUUAUAUAUGUGCCUACUCCUAUUAAAAGUUAUAUAUAUACCUACCCUCAUUUUCUUGUGCGGCAGGCUUAAUUAAGUCUUCAACCAUGUCCAGCUCAAGUCAUAGGGGCAUUCUCAAAACUGAAGCCCUCACAAAGGUAAGUUUUUUGUUUUUUUGUUUUUUUUUUUUUGCAUUUUUAAUGCAGUUUCUUUAUGGAUUCCUAAUGAUUGAAAGGUGGAUCUUGAAGUAAUCUACAUGCUGAAGUUUUUUUCCUUUGUUGUGUGACAGUAUCUAUUGGAAACAAGUGCAUACCCAAGAGAGCAUGAGCAGCUGAAAGGCCUCAGGGAGGCCACGGUAGAAAAGCAUAAGUAUUGGUAAUAUUCAUGUUAAUAAUCUGAGUUUUUAUUUGGAAGAUCUAAAUUGAGGUAUAGAGAAGGGAUAUUAUUUAAAAUUAAUCAGCUUGAAUCCUCAAAAUUAUUAUUAUUAUUAUUAUUUUAAUUAUUUUUAGUCCUUUUCUCAAACCUAGUUUUUUUUUUUUCCCUUCAAUUUGAAUUAUGGAAAGUGCAAGAAAAAGAGAAAAAAAAUUUUAAAAAAAACAUCUUAAAUAUAAUAAAAAUUAUUUAAUGAGUGUGCAUGAAAACAUUUAUAUUAAAAACACUUCCAUCAAACACAUUCAAAUAUGUUUGACAAUAAUUUUAAAAAGUGUUUCUAAUUUUUUUAAUACUUGAAAAAUAAAAAUUUUCAAAUAUUAAAAAGUUUAGAAAUACUUCUUAGAAUCGUUAUUAAACGCAUUCCAUUGUUUCCAAUUUUUCUAAUACUUAAAAAUAAAAUUUUCUUAAUGUUACAAAGGUUAGAAAUAUUUUCUAAAAUUGCUUUAAGUGUUUUUAUCAUUUCUUGAAUGAUACAGAUUUUUAAGUGUUAAAAAAGUUUGAAAACACUUCCUUAAGUUACAGCUAAACAUACUCAAUCUUCGAAUAUCACAUUUGUCUUCAAAUCAAUUUUCUCCUCUCUUUUUUCUGCCAAUAAGUUGUUUUAUUCUCUAUUUUUCAAUUUUUCUGACUUAUUUUAUAGUUUGGACUGGACCUCUGCCAUUUGAUUGGCCUCAAAAUAGGCCCAGCCCAGCCAAACCGAGCCCACUAAAAUCUCUGGCAAUAGACAUAAAGGUGAUAGGCAUAUAUUAAGGGAAAAUGCGAUAUUUAUUUUUAUUUUUAGUAAUUUUUUAAUAAAAAAUGAGAGUAAGAAUUAAAAAUUCGCUAUCAUAUAAAUCAAAAUUCAUUUUUUCAUCAUUUUAUUUCCAUUCCACAAUAAAUAGAAAUGGAAACAAAAAUAUUCACUCUCAUUCCCAAUUUCUGAGUGCCAAACAACCCCUUAAUUCACUCUCAUUCUCAUUCCUAUCCUAAUCUACAGUGCAUUAAUAAUUUUGCAGGAGCCUGAUGAAUGUCCCUGUCGAUGAGGGACUGUUCAUUUCAAUGCUUCUAAAGAUCAUGAAUGCCAAGAAGACAAUCGAGCUCGGAGUGUUCACCGGUUAUUCUCUCUUGGCAACAGCUCUUGCCCUGCCUCAAGAUGGCAAGGCAAGGCUCUCUAGAAAAGAAAAUAGUUUUCAAAUUUAGAAACAUCUUUGAAUUUCAGACAUAAAAUAAUUUUUAAAGAAUAUAUUCUAAAAACUCUUUUUAAUAUUUAAGUUUUCAAAUAGGAUUUUGUUCUCGAAAACAAGUGAGAAUUGCUUUCAGGAAGUGUUUUUUGUGCAGAUAAUAGCGGUUGAUCCAGAUAAAGAAGCGUACCAAACUGGAGUGCCAUUUAUCAAGAAGGCAGGUGUGGAGCAUAAGAUCAACUUCAUUCAAUCAGAUGCAAUGUCAGUUCUAAAUGAUCUCAUUGCCGAUGUAAGUGUCCUCUCCGUAGCUCGAGCCACCGCUGCCUUCAACCAAACACCUCUCUAUUUGAAUGAAUGAAUGUGUGCAGGGGAAAGAAGAAGGGACAUUGGACUUUGCGAUGGUGGAUGCUGAUAAGGAGAACUACCUCAACUACCAUGAGCUGCUGCUGAAGUUGGUUAGAGUUGGAGGCAUAAUUGCUUACGAUAACACUCUAUGGUUUGGUUCAGUAGCGCGAUCUGAAGAAGAAGAAAUGAUGGAUUUUGAGAGAGCAGGCAGAGUCCAUCUCAUGAAGUUGAACAAAUUCUUGGCAUCAGAUCCCAGGGUUGAACUCUCUCACCUUUCCAUUGGAGAUGGCGUCGCGCUCUGCAGGCGCCUCUAUUAGCCUAAAUCCAUUCUCAUGAGGUUUAGGGUUUGCUUAUGGUGUUGAUUUUUCAAGGAAGUCUUUUGUCGGAUUUGUAUUUGUAUUUGUAUUUGUAUUUGAACUCAUGUCCAGACUCUGUUUUGGGAAUGAAUUUCUGCUUCAAGUUUAAGUUGAAAAUUUUGGACACUGCCAUUGAUGUAUCUAUUAGGAAUACAACUCCUUCCUAGCUUUACAGAGAGAGCGGAGAGAUUGUAUCGAAAGAGUGCCUUGAUUUGUUCCAUUGAGUGCUAGAAUAAAGUUUCAUUCAUUCUCCCUUGGACGAGAGAGGCCUAGAUGUGGGCUUAAAAAGACUUUUUAUAGGUCGGAACUUAUAUGGGCCUAGCCCACUUAUGAUAUGAAGGACUUGUUUGGGCACAUUUUAAAACAAUUUUUUAGAAUAAUUUUAGAAAACUGGUUUUUGAUGUUUUU